RNAcentral lists this long non-coding RNA (67589 nucleotides) under Selaginella moellendorffii. Its description in RNAcentral is "long non-coding RNA (SMOE_LNC002189)". Lineage: Eukaryota; Viridiplantae; Streptophyta; Lycopodiopsida; Selaginellales; Selaginellaceae. The record is from RNAcentral.
CUCGUAAGUGAUUGACGUCUCAUUCUUGUCAAACUUCUUCCUCGAUUGAGAGGAACCUUUUGUUUUCUAGCUCUUGUUUCUCUCGCUCUCUCGGAUCACAUCCUUGUUACUCCUGUUCCAUUCCAGGACUUCUAGUCACAAUCACAAACAGAGUUUCUUAAAAGGGCAAUCGAAUUAACUCGAGCUGUGACUUGCAGAUGCGGCAAGAGGAUCGCUGAUGCUGCGUUCCUGAGCACCGCCGGAGACUUCAGGUGAAACUCUCGCGAAUCUCUCCAUGCAUCCCUCACUGAAAAGGUGAUUUGCUCUCGCAGCGGUGCGAACUUUGCCGCCCCGGUUGGAGUGGCAACCUGUGACAAGUGCGCCCAAACCGGGGUUUGCACCUGCGGGAAGAACCGCGUGGAGGGCGUGGACACUUGCGACAAGUGCGCUCAAACCGGGGUUUGCACUUGCGGCAAGAACCGCACCGUGGGUACCGAUACCUGCGACAAGUGCGCACAGACGGGCGUGUGCACUUGCGGCAAGAACUAAGGAGAAGAUCGCUCAUGGAAUUGAAAGAUUACUAUGGCUAUAUGGAGGCGUGUGUUUGCUUGGCGUGUAGAUCCUCACGCCGGCGCUAAAGCACAGGUCUUCCUCUCCUAUGGUUGUAACACUUGAUAAUAACUUUGGUGGAAAAUUUGUAGCUGUUACAUGGAUGGGUGAUCGCUUGGCUUUGCUUGGAUUUUAAGUGAGUGUCCGGUUUGCUCGUUCUUGGAUAAAUGCGCUAUCAUGGAUCUUUGCUCACACUGGUUAUCACUUGAGCUUCGCUCACACUGACGUAAAAGCUUGACUUUUAAGAAAAAGAGUGAGCGUGCACGCUCGCCAUCAUCUAUGCUGUAGGUGGAGACGCAAGGUUAAAAAAUCUAGCGUUUCUUAUUAGAACUCUCCAGAAGGAAGAAAAAAUUGUUUUGAGAAUGUAACUUUCGUACAACCAGAAAACACCCAAACUUGAUUAGUACAAACAAAUCGCUUACCAGUAGAUGAGCUUGAUCUUGAACAGGACGAUGAAAGUGUCCCCAUCGAUCGAGUGCGUCGUGAUCGUGGCGAUGCCGCGAGCCAUCUCAAAGUCGCCCGUCCCGCCCACGACGCUGAUAUCCCGCGAUGGCGCCAAGAUUACGUCCGCGCCCAUGAAGUUGAUCGUCCCGUUGUACUCGCCCGUCUCGAUGAGCGCCGAGAAGAGGAGCAGAGCGUUGAACGCCACCCCGGCCUGGGUGUGGUCGUAAAUGUAGACGCCCUGACCCUUUCCCACGAUCUUGGAGCUCGCCAGCGACGGCCCAUCCGUGAGUGAAUCGUUGAAGACGAUGAUCUUGCCAAAGCCGAGGCCCGUGAGGUUGUGGUGUGGUCCGGCCACCUCCACCGCCGUGUCCGUCCAUGGAUGGGUCUUGUUCUGGAGCGUGUCGUGCAUGUAGAAGCUCACGGACGAUGGGCGCUUGGGCUCCUGCGAGGCCGAGCUCACCAUCACCACCACUGCCAAGACGAUGAAAGGAGCAGCAAAUGCCCGACGAGAAUUCGAUCUCUCCAUUUGAAGAUCACGAAAGAACACAAUUGGAGUAAAUUAAGAACAGAAGUAGAGAGAGUUGAAUCGAUCACGAAAGAACAGUAGAGAUAUAGUCCAAUCUUUCUUCCCCUUCUUCCGUUAUCUAUAGAUCCAGCAGGCUCAAGCUUCAGGAUUUUAAAUCCGGGGGUGAUAAUGUGCGUUGGGCGGCAACACAACAGCCCUGCUGUGCAAACAAAGUCAACAUGAUUGCCCUGACCCUCGCUGACCAAGUCAAUCAAGGUCCCGUGCCACGCCUGCCCUAGUCAACUUUCAUGGACUUGAUCAGCCUUCAGCUAUAUCCUGAAUAUGCGGCCUAGGCACCCCGCCACGUGGCGUUCAUUGGCGCGUCUUAUCGUCCUCUUGCGGUGGGCGCGCCAGCCUUCUCUCCUCUCCCUCCACUUUCUAUCUGGCCCUGGAGAGGAUUCCCGUGUGUGGUUCGCGGCAUCCCUCUCUCCAAGUAUUUAUCUAUACCCAUCUCCCAAGAGCCCUACAUUGCUCUUGGCUUUGCUCUCUCCCCCUCCCUAUCUCGAGCUCCCAAUCCUCUAAUCCACCAUGGUGACGGGGGCAGCAUCGUCCGCCGUGAUCCCAAUGGCCGCGCUCUCCACCCCGGUGGCUCCCAAGGUCCCCGGAUUCACAGGUCUCAAGGCCACCACGGCUCUCACUGCCAACAAGGGAGGACUCCAAUGGAGCCAGAAGACCGUCGCCAAUGGGAGCCGUGUGAGCUGCAUGCUGGUGAGUAGCCUCUCUCGCGCGCGAUCAAUCGCUCCACAUUCCCAAGCAAGAGAGAGAACUGAUCUCCUCCUCCUUGAUCCCCUCCCCAGACAUGGACGCCUUACAACAAUCCCAGGUUUGAGACGCUGUCGUACCUCCCGGAUCUCUCAGCCGACCAGAUCGCCAAGGAGAUCGACUACAUGUUGAGGAAGGGAUGGUUCCCCUGCCUGGAAUUCUCCGACGUAAGCUCCUCUCGCCAUCAAACUCCAUUGAUUUUUGGCAAGAACAAGCACUGAAAUCGCGAGGAUUCGGUCGAAUCUCUGUCUCUCUUUCUCUUUGCAGAAAGGAUACGUGUACCGCGAAUGCCACAAGAGCCCGGGAUGCUACGAUGGCCGCUACUGGACCAUGUACAAGCUCCCCAUGUUUGGCUGCCAAGAUUCCGCCCAGGUGUUGAGGGAGAUCCAGGAGUGCAGGAGGGAGUUCCCCACUAGCUACAUUCGAGUGCUGGGAUUCGACAGGGUCAGGCAAGUGCAAUGCGCGGGAUUCAUCGUCUACAAGCCAACCUAGAGCUCUAGAAGCUCCAGCUCCAGCUCCAGCGCGCGAGCCGAGCAAGCUUAAUGGAUCGAUCGACGUCGUCUUUGUGCACACACACAUGAAUCUCUCCCUCCUCCCCUCCACCUCUCUAAGAUAAUGUUUUUGUUUCUCCUCUCCCGGGAUGCAAGCAAUUACCACCACCCUGUGCAAGACGACGGGUUUCUCGAGCAUUAAGAAUCAUAUAUUUGAUGACAGUACUUCAUCUUUCUAUGCUUCUUUACGUGAGGUUUGAAAUUCGAGAGUGUUCCAGACGUGGAUGGAUUGGGCCUGAGUGGACGAAAGAGCAGGCAGGAAAUAAUAUAUAGUUUGGCCGCUGUUUCGUUGCUAAUCUGGGCUCUGGAUGAUUGAUAACGAUCGAGUGCUUUCUCUGGAAUGAAAACAACUCCGGCUACAGCGCUCGUUGAAUCGAUUCUUGCAAGAUAAUGUAAACGUUUAGAUCGUUGUCGAGCUCGUUACAUGGUUGACAAGCACGAGCUCUCAAAGGACGAUGUUUCUGGAGCUUCUGGCAAGCCAAAACCUGUAGUAGCAAAGGUUAGAUCUUUUUCCAAAAGGAAAAGAACGCUGUGGCUGUGGAGCCUGACAAGAAGGAAAAAAAGAAAAGAGACCUGGAGAGUCUUUCGGUGCGUCCAGCGGCUUUUAAACCACACCAUAGGCUCGACAAUCCGGCAAUGUACAUCGUCACUGGACCAUAUCCUUAGCAGGGAGUAAAUCCCAGACGACCGACCUGAAAGUGUUAGCGUUAGUACUCUUGUCUCCGAUGAACAAACAAAAUUCGGUCUACCGGUAAGCUUUGGUGGUACAAACAAGCUAGACAAACUCGCAGGGCUCUUGAGUCGAGAGUUAUCCUAGAGCAAAUGCUCGCAAGAAAUGAGAGAAAGAGAAAGAAAAGCUCGUACCUGUGUCAAAAAUGAUAUCAUCUCCUCGGACUGCUUCUUCUGGAGAUCCUGGAGCUCAUCUUCUCAUCCUUGAAACCGGCCCCGGACAUCGAUGCGUAUGCCGCAAGAGCCUCCUCCACAUGUCCGGCAUGAAGAAAUCCCUCCACGAUAAUGGCAUACGAGGCUCUGUUCGGACAGACUCCCUGAGCCGUGAGUCUGUGCAGCAAGUUAGCAGCAUCGUUCACCAUCCCGGCCUUGGCAUACGCGUCAAUCAUUGUGUUUAGAAGAUGGACGUCGGCUCGGCAUCCAUACGCUUCCAUCUGUGAGAAGUGCUUGCGUGACUCCUCGAGCAAGCCUUUGUGGAGAUGCGCGGAGAUUAGCGACGUGUAGGUGACGAUAUUCGGCCUGUGUCCUUCCAGCUGAAGCCUGUGGAAUAUCAGGAGAGCGUCCGCCACAAGACCAGCUUUGCCGUAGACACUGACGAGCAGGCUGUAGACGAAGAAAUCCGGCUGGCACUUGUUCACCACCAUCUCCUCGAACAUUUCGAUCGCUUCCUUGUGCAUGGAGCUCCGGCUAAACAUCUGUAUCAGCGUGGUGUAAGUCACGAUGUCCGGAAGAACACCCGCGGCUUUCAUGUUGCUGAAAACCUGUAGUCCCCUCUCCGGCUUCCUGGACAUGGCGUAUGCGGCGAUCAAGGCGUUGAACGAGAACAAAUCCGGCCGGAGCUCUUGCCGUAUCAUCUCGCGAAUCACUUCCUCCACCUUGUCAAUGCUUCCUUCCUUCGUGAACGCGCAGAUCACGACGUUGUAUGAUCGUAACGUGAGCGCCACCCCUCUAGACUUGAUCUCCAAGAAGAGCCUGUCGAUCGGAUAGCCAUUCUUUCCACUUCCACUUACAAGAAUGUCGUAAGUAACUUCGUCUGGAUCGAUGCCUUCCGCGAGCAUUUGGUGGUAAACAUCCCAGGCGUCCUUGGGCCUCUUUGCCUGGUAGUAUGCUGCUAUCAUCGCAUUGUAUGGACGUAGCUUAUCCCAGUCCUGGAGCUUGAUCCACUGGAAGAGCUCCUCGGCGUCCUCUAUCAAUCUAGCCCGGCUCAAAAUGCCCAGCACCAUGUUGCAAAGGUGUGCCUUUGGAACCAGCCUUCCUUUGCAUCUUUGCAUCCAGUAGAACACCUCGAGCAGCAGUGCGUGCUUGCCUUGAGCGUCCAGAUCCUUGAUAACGUUGGCGAGGUCCACUCUGGAAACUUUUCCCAGCCAUCCAUCGAGGAUGGUCGCCACUGGAAGCCCGCCCCCCUCUAGCUGAUCGUUGGCGAGGAGCUCGUUUAGAAUCUCCGUUUGCUUCUCUCGGCACUGUGCUUCCGUCCAUGGCGGAAGUGGAGGGUGUUUGCGAGGUCUGAUCGGACCAGUCCACUCCUUCUUCUUUCUUCUUUCGGGAGUUUUUUCUUCGAUCACCUGAGUGGAACCAUUUGAGCUCGUGGAAGCUAUCUCGGCCUCCACGGGAGCUUCCCCGAGCCUAGGCACUUCCAGGCCUUCCAGUGACGAUUCCAGUGCUACAAACGUGUUCUCCAGCGAAAUCUGGUCCUCGGUGACCAGCAAUUCGGCUCCUUUUCUAAAUGCCGGAGAGAAAAUCCUGAGCCUGCGAGAAUGUUGCUGCGAAGAGACGACUACAUCCACCCCUCCUCCUCCUCCUCCGGACUGCCAUUGGUAUGGCCAGCCAAACGCCAUUGCGCUCGCCAUCAAAAUCUCGCAAUGCCGCGAAUCAGCUUACCGCAGUGCCAGCGCGAUCCGAGACAAGAGGCCAUUCGCGAUGAGUUGUCGAGUCCUGGAAUUCGAGCCAAUGCGCGCCGGCAAAGAGCGACCGCGAGGAUCUAUUUGUGAACCCCUCAUUUUUUUGUGAUAAGACGAGCUAGGGUUUAUGGACGAAGAACCCUAAACAUGCGUUAAUACAACACUUCCACGUGGCUCAUAUGAUCUUCCCUAAAUAUCUGGAAGAUCUUCGCUAGGUUUCUCUCCGGUGUAAGCACUCUAGCUCGCUGAUCGAUCCCUCUGGCGGUGAAAAUUUGAGAUGGAUCUCGAUGAGAAGGCGCGCGCGAGGAUGUAUCACCUGGCGUGCCAUCUCGAGGACGGGUUGCGGCUCCAAUCGGGCCCUUUGAUCGUUAGAUCGGUGAGUGUUUAGGCUGAAUUGGAUGUGGAAAUUGGAAUUGGGAAUUUCUUCGCAGGAGUGUUCCUCCACCCCCGCAUUUUCGGGAAAUCGUCGCGAUAGCAUGCUCAUGUUUGCGAGGCAAGGGGCCGAAGCAAGAGGACAAUUCAUGCGACCUGCCGAGUUAAAACAGGCACGUAGAAAAAAAUGCGAUGUUCUUCCUUUGUUUCCAUUUCCGUUCUAUGAUUCCGUGAAUUUCUUUCUUCAGGUGAUACCGGAUGGCGAGAGCCGAGCGAGUCUUUCCAAGAACACUAGCAAAAUCAGUGGCGACUGUGCCAAAAAAGAAGACGAGGAGUUCUCCAACAGCAAAGUAGUGAAGUCUCGUGAAGAUGAAACUCCACUCUUUGCGAGGCCGGCGUCCAAGCAUGCGGCACAAAUCAAGAGCUCUCGUCCUGUUACCGAGGCUUCAGGUACUUCCAUCUGGUUCUUCUCGAUCCAUAAGUUGCAAUGGUCUCUUCCUCCUUUUUUGCACGAAGAAGAAAAACGCGAGACUUCCAUCCGAGGCUUUGAGUGGUCUCCUCGCAUGGAUGUCACGGAGUCUGACUCCGAGCACAUUGUGACGGUGGAGCUACCAGGUGUAAACGCCGAAGGAAUUCGAGUGGAGAUCGACCGUGGAAGGUGAUGCUCUUCUCUAAGUUUCUUCUUUCUCAUUUCAUCGUUUUUCCAAACGCUGGAUGGACAGGCUUGUAGUGACUGGAUUUCGCUCCAGGGAGUGGUGGUCGAGCUCCCAGUCUUUCACUCAGAGUUCCGAGAGCGACUGCAGGGUUUAUCACCGGCGAGAUAUUUCCUACGGCCCCUACCGCUCGGUGUGGAGUGUGCCCAAGAAUGCCAACUUGAAUGGAGCCACUGCCGAGUUUAUGUAAGAAAGUUUUGGCUCAAUUCCUCUCUGAUCUAAAUGCUCUCUCGUGUGCUUUGCAGCGACGGGUUUUUGCGUGUGAUCAUUCCGAAGUCUUAAGAGCUUGAGCUCAAGGUUGCUCGCUAUAGCUAAGUAUCUGUAAAUUUGGAGCUAGCUAUGCAUAUAAAUAAAUAAAUAAAUAAAUAAUUAGUGCACUUUGAAUGUUUAAAUGAUUAAAUCUUAAGUAUAUUCUACAUACUAUAUUAUUAAUCAUUCGACAAAUAAGUUAAUAACCUUUACAUAAUUCAUUCUAGAGUUUCUAAUGAAAUACGAAGUGGCAUUCAUGGACAAAGCUUGUCGAUUUUGAUUUUCAGUUCAUGCUUUCUACGAAUCACACAUCGUUGUUAGUUGAAAGUUGGGUUUGUAGUUUGUAACAUCUAUGUUCAAACCAUGAUCACGAUUGGCAUAUGAUUGGCGUGAUUUUGUAAGCUUUGGCCCUUGCAGGGAUCGACAAGCCGUUUAUCUUAAUCGAUCAACCUCAACUUCAGCCGAGUGGAAAAAUUAGAGAGUGGGUGUCGAAUUGUCACGAGAUUCUCGACUAAGAUAUCUAGCACAAGUAGAUUCUGUCCGCUAAGUCCAUUGGAUCCGUAGAUUCCCUCGCGCAUGAUUGGUACGGGAAGUCAAAUGAUACAGUCCUGUUUAGUCUUAACCUCGCGGCUAAUAACGACCGUGCCACGCAAGCUCCACGCACGUGCCACAUCAGCGUCCAGCUAAGCUUUCAUGGCAUUGUCUACUUAAUUUGCGACAAAGCAGCGCUUGAAACGGGCUGGAAGGCUUUCCCCGUGAUCUCGUACUUGCGCGCCACACAUGAAUCCGGCGCUUGGCGCGCUCGAGAAGCUCACGAUCUUGUGAUCGAUCAAUAGUGUCGAUCCUCCAAAGAGGGGAAUUUGUGAUCCUGGAGCUCCGGCGAUUGGAAUGUAUCGCCCAUGGACGAGGACGAACCGAGGCUCGAGCGGGAGGGGUACGAGGGCAAUGGGAGCAAUCGAUCGCGAGUGUCGCGAUACAUCAGGGAAUGGCAAGCCAGCAGCUCGGCGCUUAAAGCCCUAAGGCUCCAUGUCAUUCUUCCCGAGUCGCGGUAAGAGCGUUUUCUUGGAAAUAUUUCUUCCACUCCCGAUCGAUCGACACCGAUCGGUGGAAGGAUCACUCACUGAGUGGGCGCGACUCGCAGAUGGCAUCACUGGUGGACGACCUUCAUCCUGGUGUCGGCGGCGUAUUCCUCCUUCUUCACGCCCAUGGAAUUCGGCUUCUUUCGCGGCCUGCCCUGGCGCGUCGGGGUCUUCGACAUGGUCGUCCAGGUGAUCUUCCUGGCCGACAUUGUCAUCAAUUUCUUCGUGGCCUACAAGGAUUCCCACACCUACAAGACGAUCACGGACCACAAGAAGAUCGCUUUGAGGUAAAAAGAUAUUUCCUUCCAGUGUUCUUGGAUGGUGAAUUGCUUGGCAGGUAUGGAAAGACGGAUCUCAUCCCAGAUUUCUUGGCGUGCCUGCCCUGGGAUGCACUGUACAAGGUAACCAAUGGCUCACUCCACACACCACACCAGGAAUUUCUUCGCGAAGAUCACUCAAAACUUUUUUCUUUGUUUUCUCGUUUUUUUCUUCGUUUUUUUCUCAGGCUUGUGGAAGACACGAGGAGAUCCGAUACAUGCUGUGGAUCCGGCUGUAUAGAGUUCGCAAAGUGGAGCGUUUCUUCAAGAGGCUGGAGAAGGACAUUCGCGUCCACUACUUUGUGGCGAGGAUUGCGAAACUGCUAACGGUGGAGCUCUACUGCACGCACACGGCUGCUUGCAUCUUCUACUACCUUGCAACAACCAUGGCGCACUCGCAGGAAUCCUACACCUGGAUCGGCAGCCUCACGCUUGGCGAUUUUUCCUACCACAACUUCCACGAGAUUGAUCUUUUGAAGCGUUACGUGACCGCGCUCUACUGGGCGAUUCUCACCAUGGCGACUGUUGGUACGUGGAUUCUUUUCCUUGAUCGUCGCAAAGUUUCGUGAUUAAUUAUUCGUUGUUUCGCAAGGCUAUGGAGAUAUUCAUGCCGUGAACGUCAGGGAGAUGGUUUUCGUUAUGAUCUUUGUUUCGUUUGACAUGAUCCUGGGAGCAUAUCUUAUUGGAAACAUGACGGGAUUGAUAGUGAGAGGGUCGAGCACCGAGAAGUUUCGGGACCGGAUGGCGGGGAUUAUCAAGUUUAUGAACAUGCACAGCCUUCCAAGGGACCUGAGGCAGCAAAUGAAAGCUCACGUCCGGCUCGAGUUUGAAGGGCAGCUUGCAGAACGGACAGUGAUGAAGGAAUUCCCUGCUUCUAUUCGUGCCAAGGUAGUCAAAACAAAACCAACUUGUUUGAUACUAAAAAGAAUCUGUGAGCUUCCAGGUCUCUCAGGCCCUGUACCUUGAUACGGUUGCGGAUGUUCCACUUUUUAAAAGCUGCUCAAACGAGUUUAUCAACCAGAUUGUAAGUUUGUUUCGCUUCUGACUCUUGGAUUCUGAUAGGAUUUUGUUCGUUCACCACUGACGCAGGUGAGCAACGUACACAAGGAAUACUUUUUGCCAGGAGAAAUAAUAAUGGAGCAAGGGAGUGCUGCAGAUAGGCUCUACAUUGUGUCGCAUGGACUGCUGGCAAGUGGUUUUGGAUUUCUGGCCUGUGCUUUUUGACUAAACAAGUUUUUCUCGUUUUAAAAACUUCCUUCUCAGGAAGUUGUUUCUGUUGCAGAAGAUGCCUCUGAGGAAGUCUUUACAGUCGAGGACCAUAACAUUUUCGGGGAAGUUGCUGUGCUUUGCAACAUCCCUCAGCCGUAUACUGUCCGUGUGUCGGAGCUGAGCGCGCUACUAAGGCUGGACAAGCAUGUGCUUACAAACAUAAUGCAAAUCUAUGCCGUCGACAGUCGCCAAGUUCUCAACAAUCUGCUCAAGGUACGAAAACCCCAAGCAUGUUCCUCAGGUGUUUUCCUUUAUCUGUUUCUUAGCAACAAACGGGAGACUUUCGAAUAAGUCAGCUCACUGACGAGAUUCAAUCGCAACUGGGGCACCAGCAGUCAGAGCUGACGUUGAGAAUGAACAACGCUGCUUUUCAAGGCGACUUGUAUUAUCUGCGCAGCCUGAUACGAACGGGAGCAGAUCCUGUGAAGUCCGACUACAUUGGGAAAACGCCUCUCGUAAGAAAUCAUUUACGCUGAUUCUUUGUUGUGUGCUCAUCAGGAUCAAGUUUUGCAGCACCUUGCAGCUUCUAAAGGCUACGACGACAUCGUCUCGUUGCUGUUGAGAGAAGGAGCAGACGUAAACGCUCUUGGUAUUUUUCUUCUCAGUCCAGCGUACUUCCAAUCUAAACCAUCAUUUGGGUGCGCAGAUAAUAUAGGCAACAGCCCGUUGCUCGAAGCCAUCAAAGGUGGACACGACUACACAGCAAGCAUCCUUGUGGAGAGGGGAGCCAGGCUCAACUUAACUUACCCCGGAAACAUGCUCAUCCGCGCGGUGGUAAAGAACAACUUAGAACUCCUCAAGCGUCUAAUAAACCAUGGAGUGGAUCCAAAUGCGGCAGAUUAUUACUCAAGGACCGCAUUGCAUGUCGCUGCGGCCGAAGGCUUGAAUUCGUUUGUCAAGUUCCUUAUCAAUGCUGGGGCCAACAUCUUCUACAAGGACAGGUACUUUCGAACGUCCGCUCUUCUGGCAGGCAAUCGAUCACUCACGCUUCUACUGACAGAUGGGGCCGUACUCCUUACGAUGAAGCCAAGCGCUGUGGAAGCGUGCUCGUCAUCUCUGCUUUCGAGGCAGCGGCUGAGCAGCAAACAAAGACAAGAACUGCGCCGUCACAGUGCAGUCCAAACAUUGUGGAAGUUUCUGAGAGCCAGCAAGAGUCCCCGCGAUCCAGCCUGAGGCAUAGGAACUUGAGCUCGAGAGAAGUGGCGCUCCUCUCGUCGUCUUCGAGAAAUCUCCUCCGGACAAAGAACCAGCAGCAGCAGCAGGAUCUCCUCAGCCAGUCGUCACCGGAUCAUUUGGAGCUGGAAGUGCACAGCUCCCAGCCCAUCGAGACUUCCACCGUCUUUCUUCACGAUCAUCCAUCGACAAGCUCUUCACACCUCUAGAGAAGAGAGCUUGAAGAAGGUAUAUAGUGUACCAUUUGUACCAUGUAUCCAUUAUUUAUUAACAAGAAGUGAUCGAUCAAUUUUUACAGAGAGAAGUUCUCACCAUCUUCCAGGGAAUAGACGCCGGUAAGCAUCACAUAAGGAGCAGCGUUCUCGGGGUCACACUCCAGUGCUCGUCUAGCAAUGCGUUCUCCACGAUCACUCUCGCCAUUUAAGUUGCAAGCUCCAACUAGCGAUCUGGACAUCGCCAUCUCCACUGCGGGCAUGGAAGCAGCGAAUUCUUCCGCCUCGCGGAGCCUCCCGGAUCGACCAAGGAGCUCGAUCAUGCAGCAAAAGUGCUGGUGACUGGGGACGAGGUGGUGGUCUUGGAUCAUCGAGAGGAAGUACCAGCGGCCAAUCUCGACGAGGCCGAUGUGAUUGCAAGCGGCGAGGAGGGUGAGAAAGGUGACGGAGUUUGGGGCGAUUCCCUCCAUCGCCAUGAAGCUAAAGAGCUCGAGCGUGGUCUUGGCCUGCCCGUUUUGGGCAUAUGCUUGGAUGAGAGCGUUCCACUCCACAAGAGACUUUUCCGGAAGCAUAGAGAAGAUUCUUCUGGCCAUGCAAAGAUCGCCAUUGUGAGCAUAAGCGAGGAAAAGAAUUGUCCAAGCCACAGCGUUGUGUAGCGGCAUCUUGUGAAAUAGCUGGAGCAACAAAGCAAAAUUGCCUACUUGGGCAUUUGCUGCUAAGAUUGUAGUCCAAGAUGCUGUGUCUUUUUCCAACAGACUAAAAAACAUCUCUCGAACUCUUCCAAAAUCUUGGCUUUGUAAGCAAGCAUCCAUCAUCGCGUUGCAUGACACGGAAUCCCGCCGCGGCAUUCGGUCAAACAUGUCUUUCGCAAGCUCAAAAUUCCCUUCUUGGGCAAGUGCUGCAAGAACAGUCGUCCACGACACAACAUUACGAUUGCCCAUGAUAUCAAACAUCUCUUUGGCUUUUCCCAAACAGCCGCUUCGAGCGUAAGCUUGUAUCAUCGCAUUCCAUGCGACUCGAUCCUUCUCAGGCAUCCUACCAAAAAUCUCCCUCGAUUUCUGUAAAUCCCCUCUUUGGGCAUACACUGCAAGCAUGUUUGUCCAGGAGAAAAGAUUCGGCUCCUGGAUCCCAUCAAACACAGCUCUGGAUUCCUCCACGCUGCCGCACUUGCCAUACAUUUCAACCAGGAGAUUCGCAAGAAAUCGCUCGUGGAUGAGCCCACUCUCGAGGAUUUGCGCGUGGACGCAUUUGCCCUGCAAGAGAUCCCUGGCAUUACGGCACUUCCUCACGAGCUGGGCAAACAAAUAAAGCUCAUGUCUCAUAGAUUAGGGUUUAUGGAGGAAAGAGGAGCUAUCCCAGACAGAGAAGAUGCCCUGUGGCAGAGGCUUCGCUGUUAGUCUCCCAUCGUCAUCGUCUUCACUGCUCGCGCAAACGCUGCCAGAUUCUCGUGGGAGUUCCCGCCUGGAUUGGCAGUAGCGCGGGCCACAUUCUUGAGAUCUUUCGCUCUCGCCCAUAUCUCCUCCUUGUCCAUUCCACUCAUGAAUUCAGUGAUCCGCUGCUCCACGACACCCCGGGUCACCGUGCCGCCGUCGCCUCGCCGCCACAGUCUCUUCCCCACUCGCCAGUCCUCUUCCACCAGCUUGGCGUUGGUCCUUUGCUCCGAGUGGCACGGCCAUCCCAGCAGUGGCACGCCAUAGCAGAUGCUCUCCAGCGUCGAGUUCCAGCCGCAGUGCGAGAGAAAUCCUCCGAUGGAGGAGUGCGCUAGCACUCGGACUUGCGGCGCCCACGACACGACCAUUCCUUGCUCGCGCGUCCUCUCCAGAAACCCCGCGUAGAACUCGUCGUGAGUGGCGCUCCUCUUCACCAGAUCCUCGCGAUUCACCCAGAGAAACGCCUGCUCGCUAGCCUCCAGCCCCGCGGCGAUCUCCUGGAACGUAUCCUCCGAGAGAACGCUGAUGCUCCCGAACGAGACGUAGAGCACGGAGCUCUCGGCGCGCGUGUCGAGCCACUUGAGGCAGCCAUCCUCCUCGUCUCGGAGGCUCACUCCCUUGAGCGCUGCUGGCGAUUCGUGGUGGGAGACUGGGAAGAGUGGCCCGAUCGCCGCGAACUUGCUGGCUGGCAGCGCCGCUUGCAUCGCGUGGAACGUCUCGGGCUCCAGCUCCGCCAUGCUGUUGACGAGGAUCCACUCGCAGUGCUUCAUGCGAUCCUGGUCGUAGUCGAAGAGAAGCCGGCGACUGGGGGUCCCGAGCUUUCGCUUGAAGUACUCCGGAAGAUCACCGUACUCCAGACCGGGAACUCCAGGGAUGUACGUGAUGAUCCUGUCCUCCUCCCUCUCUCCUGCAUGGAUUUCACAAACUUGGUUGACUACUACUGACAAGAACUUUGGCUUGCCUUGGCAGAAGAGAUCGCCGUGGGCCUCGAGCAGCUUCAUAUGGUGGUGGAGUGAGCUCCAUGCUGCGUUUCCAGGCCAGUAGAUUGCGCAACCGGUGCCUAACGUCCUGGCCAGCUCGAGGGGCCAGCCAAGGAAGAAGUCGGCAAUGAUGCAACAAGGAGUUGGCGUGAGCUCACGUACGAGCUCCUCCACCGGAGCUUUGAGGCUGUCAACUGCGUCGAAGAGAGCUUCCGGGUUCUCGAGGCACGACGCGUCCACCCCGGCCGGGAGCUUGAGGCCGCACUCGACUUGCUCCAGCCGGAUGUCCGAUCCCGGUGGGCAGCUCCAUUGCUUGAGGAGCAUCUUGUGGACGCUGUCCACGUUAACCAGCGUGACGAUGAUCUCGUUGGCAGCUAGCUUUCGGGCGAGAUGGAUCAUCGGUGGAAUGUGACCCUGAGCCGGGUAUGGGACGAGAACAACGUGUGCGGUUUGAUCUUGUGGUGUAGCACCCAUGGCUGGAAGAAGAGUUCGUCAAACUCUGGGAGGGGAAGAAGCUUGCGUACCUUUGGCGCUGGAUGUUUAGAACUUUAGCUACGACUGUGAUUCAUGCUGCAAUCCCACACAAGAGGUAAGCCUCAAGCUUCUCUGUGGUGACCGUGCAAACAAGCUGGCUGCUAGUUUGCAACAAAGCACCAUCACAUAUCAAUGGCAGGAAAUUUUGAGGGGACCACAGCAACUAGGAAAUUUUGUUUCGACGUGACUAACUGGCUGAAAUGGAUUUCCUGGUUCUCUGGAUUGGGUACAAGUCUGGUAAUGACGAGGUUAAUAAACUGAAAUGCUGAUUUGGGAGUGUGGCUAACAUGUUGCCACUUGGAAGUGCAGAGUUAUCUCGUAAAGGUGGAGGUGGAGCUCCAGCUCCAGCCUCGAAGCUCGUGUGGCUAUGGCUGCCACCGCUUGCAGUAGAUUGACGUACUUUGCUAGUCCGCACGAGGCUACGCAGCUCAUCAGGCCGUGCCGCUGCACGCUACUCAGAUUCAAGCUGCGGCAUUCGAAGGGCUUUGGUUUGCCAGAAAGAAAGGAGGCGAGGAGCAUACAAUCGCUGCGUGCGAGCGUAGCGGACGGGCCAUCCACUUCCACUUCCACUUCCACAUGUAAGUCUAGAACUUCGCGAGGAAAUUUUGGUCCAUCAUACAGCUGAUGCCAGUGCGUGCGUGCGAUGGAAGACACGUACAGUGGUGACACAGGAUAUAAUCUUUUCUUGGAAGGGCCAAGCUUCCGAGGUGCUGCUCACCGGCGACUUCCUCGAGUGGCAAAAGCAAGUCCCUCUUGAGAAGAGCCCGGAUGGUACAUUUCAGAUCAAGCAAGUAAGUUCUACUUCGAAGUUCUUGCAAUUAGACUGUCAUGGGUGUUGUUUCCAGAAGCUAGCUCCGGGAUCAUACAAGUACAAGUUCAUCGUGGAUGGCCAGUGGAUGCACUCGCCGGACUCUCCGACGGCAUCCGAUGGUACCGGUGGCUUCAACAACGAGCUCAUCGUAGCGGAGUCUGCCGCAGGUUUGAUACAAGUUCUUCCAUGUCUCGUGCUAGUUCAUCCGUUUUUAUUCGUGUGCUCGCAAAACACAGGCAAGGAAGCUCCUCCUCCUCCUCCGGCAAAGGAAAAGCCGGAAAAGCCCGCAACAAAGCCAAAGCCAAAGAAGCCCGCAGCCAAGACUUAUCCAGCUCUCAUGGUAGAAGACGUCGCUCCGCGUCUCCAAGCAAAACUGGCGAAGGAAGAGAACCUUGCUGACGUAGAAGUUUGCUUCGAGAACGACCAGGUUCGUCUCCACUCGACAUCGCGAUAUCUUUGCCAAUCACCACUUUGCAAUUGCAGUUAAGGGGCUCUUUCUCGAAGCUCGGCGUUCCAUACACAUUCUGGGCCUACUUCCCAGACGCGAGCUUGGAAGGUACGUGCAUGGAUUUUGCCAUUUUGCACUCAAAAUCGACACUCAAAGCUUUUGGAACAAAAAGGUGCUAGAGGAUUUUCGGUGUCUGCCUAUGGAUCACCUCCCAGCACCGUGGAGCCAUUCUUGAUCGACGAGAAGAAACUCACGGCGGAUUUGAUCGUGUAUUGGGUGCACAAGCGCCUUUUUGCGCAAAACCUCUUGGAGUUAAACUAGCAAAUUAAAAUUUUAUGUGUAACACUAUAAUGGUUAAAGUUAAUUAACCACGUUACUAAAACAAACCGAACAGCCACGUGGCUUUGGCUACGUGGCGUCGUUCUUAUGGCUGCCACAUGGGCGGCUCUUGCCAUGCCAAGUGGCGCCAGCUAUGGCGGACACAUUGACCGCGUCAGCGAAUCUCUUGAGGUUUUCGUGAGAGGUUCCCCCUUGGUCGGUCGUGGAGCGUACCGUGCUCCUGAGCGCCGCCAUUCUGGCCCGGAUCUCGCCCAUGCCCUGCCCUUCCAAGAAAUCCCGGAUUACCUCCUCCACUCGCCCGCGCGCCACGUCCUGAUCAUCCGAGAGCCGCCGCCCGAUCUUCCAGUCCUCCACGAGCUUGCAAUUCAUGCUCUGCUCGGUGUGGCACGGCCAGCCCAGCAGUGGCACGCCAUAGAAGAUGCUCUCCAGGACCGAGUUCCAGCCGCAGUGGGAGAGGAAUCCGGCGAUGGAGUGGUGUGCCAGGACCUGGAGCUGCGGCGCCCAAGAGACCACCAUCCCCCUCGGCCUCGAUCGCUCGGCGAAGCCCCGGAGAGCUUCGCUGCUGGCGAACUCGUGCCGGACGUCCGCCCAGAGGAAUGGCUGCUUGCUCGCCUCCAGCCCGGCCGCGAGCUCCACGAUCUGGCGCUCGGGAAACAGGCACAAGCUCCCGAACGAGAUGUAGAGCACAGAGGUUGUGGCCUGGGUGUGGAGCCAUUCCAGGCACUCGCUCUUCUCGUCGCGGAGGCUCACCCGCGGGCUGGUGUGGCAUGGGAAGAGCGGACCCACAGACACGAAGUUCUUGUUGGCCAGAGCUCCCUGCAUCGCGUCGAAGGCGUGGGUCUCCAGCUCCGAGAUGGAGUUCACCAGGAUCCAGUCGGCGUCCUUCAUGCGGUCUGCCGAGACACUGAAAAAUUCGAGGAUGAAUCCUACCAGCUUCCUCCGGAAGUAGCUCGGGAGGUGGCGGCACCUGAAAGCGUCGAGACCUGGGACGUAGCGAAUGAGCUUGUUCUCGUCGAGGCCUAGAUUGCUCGAUCAAAAUCAUGCAAGAAAAAAGAAUUCUGACCUUGGAACGCGUCACCGCUGGAGACGAGCAAUUGAGUGUGGUGGUGGAUGGAGCUCCAGGCAGCAUUUCCAGGCCAAAACGUGACGACUUUGAGGCCAAGUUUCUUUGUGAUUCCCACCGCCCAACGCAUGAAAUAGUCGGAGAUGAUGCAGCAUGGAGGUGGUUGCAUCUCCCUCACUAGCUCCUCUACUGGGAUUUGCAACCUUUCCAAAGACUCGAGUAGCCCGUCCGUGUCUUUCAAUGCUUUGGCAUCGAUGCCACAAGGAAUGAAGACAUCACAAUGCACUUGCUCCAGUCUGAUAUCCAUCCCAUCCGGGCACCUCCACUGCCGGGAGAGGUUUUCAUGGAUGCUGUCCACGUUGAGCAGUGUGACGAUGAUCCCUGUUGUAGCCAGUUUUGUUGCAAGAUGGAUCAAGGGAAGAAGAUGGCCCAGUGCAGGAUAUGGAAGCACCACCAUAUGAACUUCAUUCCUACUAUCCACCGACAUAGCAAAGAGCUAGUGGAUUAAACACGAACCACCCCAAGAUCUAGCUUUCUUUUUUAUUCUAAAUUUCUCUGUUUCUGUUAUUGCAUUUUCUUCUUUUAUAGUGAACUUUUAUGAAAUGUCGGUUUUCAUCCUUGCUAUAUCAUUAGUGUAUCCAAAACUUCCUUUCAACCAAUGCCAUUCUUCUGACCCCUGCAAAGUUGCCAUUCCUAUGCCAAAACCUUUUCACAACCCCAAAAGGCAAAAGGUCCACUUUGCCAAUUUCCUUGUUGCCACCUUCGUCCCACGGUCACCACUGUGAAUGCUAAUAACAAUUUGUACCUCCAGAGAUGAAGCUCUAGUUACCCAGCUGGCUCGGUCGAUCCGUGAUGCUAGAACUCUGGCACAGGGACAAUGGAUCCACAAGCUCGUCGACCAGAGUGUGCAGAGCCACAAUCGCUACCUGAGAAACCUGCUGGUGGAGAUGUAUGGCAAGUGCCAUGACUUGGAACUGGCAGUGGCAGUGUUUGAGUCCAUCCGUGAGCCCAACGUUUUCUCCUGGAACAUCCUGCUCGAGGUGUAUGCCCGAAACGGGCAUAUUGAGGAUGCUCGGGGCGUGUUUGAUCGGAUGCCACAGCGCACGGAGGUGUCGUGGACGUCGAUGAUUGCGGCCUACGCGAGGUUGGAGAUGAUCCAGGAGGCGGAGUCGCUGCUGGCUCGGAUGCCAUACAAGGCGGUGAUUGCCGGGACCGUGAUCGUGGAAGCGCUCGCGAAAUCCGGGCAUUUGGAGGCGAGCCGGCGGAUGUUUGAUCGGAUGCCACAGCGGGAUGUCGUGACCUGGAACACGAUGUUAGAGGCUUACGCGCGGAUUGGAGAUCUGGAUCGAGCGAGCUUACUGUUUGACGCGAUGCCGGAGAAGGAUCAGGUGUCCUGGAACAUCUUGGCGCAGGCGUAUGCCGAGGAGGGAAAUCUGGCGAUAGUGAGAGAUCUCUUCAAGAGAAUGCCGAGGAGAGAUGUGGUUUCAUGGACCGCGAUGCUCGUCGCGCACGCCAGCAGCUGGGAGAUCGACGAGGCGAUGUUCUUGUUCGAGAUUAUGCCCGGGAAGGAUGCGAUCGCCUGGAAUAUCAUGAUCGCCGCCACUGCCAGAUCGGGAAAUCUCCACACUGCCAAGAACCUCUUCGACAGCUCUCCAACGCGGGACCUGGUUUCUUGGAACACGGCGAUCGAGGCCUUUGCCGAGCAUGGCCAGCUCCAAGAAGCGAAAUCCCUGUUCGACGCCAUGCCCUGCCGCGAUCUCUUCUCCUGGAACGCAAUGCUCCAAGCGUACCUUCGAUCCGACCGGCUGGAGGAGGGAAUGCGCUUCUUCGAUCGGAUCCCGGAGCUGGACGUCGUGGCGUGGAACAGCGCGAUGCAAGCGCACGCCGAGCGAGGCCUGGUGGACGAAACCCUGCGAUUGUUCCACGCAAUGCCGGCGUGGAGCGUCGUCUCCUGGACGAUCCUCGUCUCGGCGCUAGGGCGUGGCGGGCAUUUAAAAGAGGCCAGGGAAGUAUUUGACGGGGCCAGGGAUCGAAACGUGAUCACCUGGAACGCCAUGCUUGCGUGCUAUGGCGGGAAAAGGGGCAAUUUAGACAGAGCGCGCGAAAUAUUCGAUUCCAUGGGCGAGAGAAAUGGAAUGUCGUGGGCUUUGAUGAUAGAAGCGUGUCUUAUAAACAAUAGCGUGGAGGAAGCGCAAACACUUCUCAAAACCUCGCCAUCAGAGAAACCACUGGCCUGGAACUUUGUUCUGGCAGCAAAUGCCCAAAAUGGGCAGCUUGAGGAGACUUUACAGACAUUCCACGCGAUCCCUGUCAAGGACGUAGUAUCCUGGACCGCCAUAGCUGCAGCAUUUUCGCAGUUUGGGCACCUUGAUCGAUCACGCAAGAUCUUUGAGACAAUGCCGGAGAGGAACACUGUUUCCUGGAACGCGAUGCUUCAUGGCUAUGCCAAGAACGCCCAUGCCGUAGAGACCUUGGAUCUUUACAAGAGGAUGGCGUGUGAAGGAGUUGAACCCGAUACCACCACUCUCAUCGCCACCUUGAUCGCCUGUAACCACAUUGGCUUGCUCGCUCUGGCAAUCCACCACUUCUCCUCCAUGAGCUUCGAUCACUCCAUUGCUGAGACAAUUGAUCACUACUGCUGUAUGAUCGACAUCCUUGGCCGGGCCGGCAAGAUACCAGAGGCCCAAGAGCUGCUCCACACGAUGCCAUUCCAAGCCAACCACGUUGCAUACACUGCUCUUUUAAAUUCCUCCAGAAAUGCUCCUCUAGCUUCUUCAGUGAGGUCGUUCCCUGUGGAUACCAUGUAUGUUCUACUGUCCAACUUAGCAGCUCAAAAUGCUACUUUUCACAAUUAACUAUUGAUAAUAGGACAACUAUUGUUAUUUACCCCAUUCAGCUAAGAGAAUACCUUGAAGGGAUGCCUUCUCUGAAGGCAUCCUUAUUUCUGGCCUAUAAGGACCCUUAAUUUUGCUUGUAAAAGGAGGUUGGACAGCUUAGUUCUGUUUCUGGUUAUAGGUAGGUUCUGGCCUGGUUUGAAAAAACUAACUUCUCUCAAUAGCCAGAAUAGCCGUGAAGCAUAGCGUUCCAGGAAACAGUGUUCCUCCUAAAUACUGCAGCUAUGGGCUCUCCUUGACAGGAAGAUUUGUAAAAUCUCCUCAAGUUGCAGGCUAAUGGUUCUCAGGUUCUGAGAGACUUUUUAUGCCUCCUCCAAAAGCCUAUGACAAUCGAAUUUUCAUGCAUUCUUUCCAUGUAGUUUUGUUUCUUCGACGUCCUGUAGCUUCAUCUCAUAUUGAACUCUGGUACUUCCUUGACUGGGCUACCAAGAACACCGAGUACACGAAAAUCAGGAUAAGCCCACAAAAUAAGACGGAGUCAUCACUUACCUUUCAUCGAUGCACUUUCCGUGUACGGCAAGCUAAACCCGGAGCUCAUAGAUACAAACACGUCACUAGAGAAGCACAGGCCAGCAGAAAAUCCAGCUGAGUAUAAAAUCCCCGCGAAAGCAGGCAUUCAAGCAUCGUCGUCGUCCACAAUGAGGUCUCACCUAUUUUCGCUCUGCUUACUGCUCGCAGCUCUGCUGGUGAUGCUGGGAAAAAUAGAAGCUCAAAGUAAGGAAGCAAAAUGUUCUUUGUUCAUUUGAGUCGUUCUCCAUUUCACUAAACGUAAAUGUAUUUCUCUGCAGUUUGCACGCAGGAAUGCCUUCCCAACUCUACCCUUCUAUGCGGCGAUGUAGUAUCCCUGGAACACUGUCAGAAUUGCUGCACCAUCAGGCGGUACAAUGGUGGUGGAUGCGCUCUAAUUCGUAAUGGAGAAAUCAUCUGCGUGGGGGACAAUUAUUCACCUCCUUUUGGAACAACCCCGCCUAGACCUUGAACGGUGCAACAAGAUGUUUUAUAAGAUUGCAUAAAUAAAGAGAAUGCUCAAAGUUUCCACACUACCGAGUGGACUUUGAGGAGGUUGGUCUUACUACGUACUUUAGGCAAUCAAUUUGUAACAGGUAGCCUAGUUUACUUUAUUAGUGAUGUGACUACAAAUAUUUUAUGAAUGUAAAUUUGAAUAUAAAAUUUAAAAUCAACUAGUUGUAAUAUAAAACUUUUACCUGUAGGAUCUGUCACAAGUUGAGCACAAAAAUGUAUCAAUAUCCUUAUUAGAUGUCCGUUUUCUGAUUAAUAAUUUAACUUCCUCAGGCAUCAAUUGCUGACUUUCUUCUUCUGCUAGUGAAAUAGCUUGUAAUGCAGUAGCCAAGCCAAAAUAAAAUUUAUUUUGACUUUUUUUACUUGUGGUUUGUUUCUAUUUCUUCCUAAUACAUCAAAAGUUUAGACUACACAUGUAUUUGUUUCACCUAUAACAGGUAUAUACCUUAGUUGUAUGUUUAGUUUUACAAUUUAGUGGAUAUAUCUAGAAUAUAUUUGAAUAUUUUAAAAUAUUCUACAAUCUAGAUUACUAUUUUAUUUAUAAUUAUAAACAUGUUUAUAAUUGGUUUCUAGUAUUUUUGGUACUAUUAAGCAAACAAGUGUUGCUGCGUGCAACACACAGCAAGUUUCUUACAUUUUGGGAGUAAACUUCCAGUUGAUUGGAUUAAUAAUAAUAGUAUUUGACUAUAAAAAGUAAUUAGUGGUCAAUUUUUAGGCCGAAAGAUUUUCUACCAAAACCUGGAAGCACCACUGGCACUUGGAAGUCGGAACUUCAGUCGAGGUCUUGCCUACCUGCACAAAGAACCUGGAAAACAGACUUAAAGAUCAAGCCACAACGAGAAAUUUGGCAUGGAGAUCUCCACGAUGCCAAGAACCUCUUCGACAGCGCUCCAACGCGGUGGUUUCUUGGAACAUGGCGGUCGAGGCCUACGCCGAACACGGCUAGCUCCAAGAAGCGAAUUCCCUGUUCGACGCCAUUCCUUGCUGCAAUAUCUUCUCCUGGAACGCAAUGCUCCAAGCGUACCUUCGGUCCGACCGCCUGGUGCCCGGAUCUGGACGUCCAAGCGCACGCCGAGCGAGGCCUGGCGUGGAACCUCUUCUCCUGGACGAUCCUCGUCUCGGGGAUAGGGCGUGGCGGGCAUUUCAGAGGCCAGGGAAGUAUUUGACGGGGUCAGGGAUCGAAACGUGGUCACCUGGAACGCCAUGUAUGGCAGCGCGUGAAAUAUUCGAUUCCAUGGGCGAGAGAAAUGGAAUGUCUUGGGCUUUGAUGAUAUAUAAACGAUAGCUUGGAGGAAGCACAAAAUCUUCUCGAAACCUUGCCCUCAGAAAAACCACUGGCCUGGAACUUGUUCUUGUAGCACAUGCCCAAGAUGGGGAAAUUGAGGAGCGAUCCCUCUCAAGGCCAUAGCAGCAGCAUUUUCGCAGUUUGGACGUCUUGAUCGAUCACACAAGAUCUUUGAGACAAUGCCGGAGAGGAACACUGUUUCCUGGAACGCAAUGCUUCAUGGCUAUGCCAAGAACGCCCACGCUGUAGAAACCUUGGAUCUUUACAAGAGGAUGGCGUGUGAAGGAGUAGAUCCCGAUGCCACCACUCUCAUCGCCACCUUGAUCGCCUGUAACCACAUUGGCUUGCUCGCUCUGGCAAUCCACCACUUCUCCUCCAUGAGCUUCGAUCACUCCAUCGCCGAGACAAUUGAUCACUACUGCUGUAUGAUCGACAUCCUUGGCCGGGCCGGCAAGAUACCAGAGGCCCAAGAGCUGCUCCACACGAUGCCAUUCCAAGCCAACCAAGUUGCAUACACUGCUCUUUUAAAUUCCUCUAGAAAUGCUGUUCUAGAGGUUGUUCCCUGUGGAUACCAUGUAUGUUCUGCUGUCCAACUUAGCGGCAGCUAUUGUUAAUACCCAUUCAGCUAAGAGAAUACCUUGAAAGGAUGCCUUCUCGUGACUUUGAUGGCAUGUACCCGCGCAGCAUCCUUAUUUCUGGUCUAUAAUGACCCUUGGCAGUUGUUCCAAUCUUGCUUGUAAAUGCUCCAUUGGUUACAGAUUAGUUCUGUUUCUUGUUAUAGUAGGUGGUUUGAAAAAUAUAACUUGUCUCAAUAACAAUGAGUAGCCAGAAUAGCCGUGAAGCAUAGCGUUCCAGGAAACAGUGCUCCUAAAUGCUGCAGCUAUGGGGGUCGAGGAUACUACGUCCUUGACAGGAAAAUUUGUAAAAUCUCCUCAAGUUGCAGGUUUUGAGAGACUUUUUAUGCCUCCUCCAAAAGCCUAACCAUCGAACUUUCUUGCGUUCUUUCCCGUGUUUCUUUGACGUCCUGUAGCUUCAUGUCAUAUUGAACUCUACGUAGUCAUCGCUCACCUUUCGUCGAUGCGCUUUCCGUGUACGGCAAGCUAAACCCGGAGCGCAAAUAUACAAACACGUCACUAGAGAAGCACCGGCCAGGGACUUUCUAUCCAGCAGAAAAUCCAGCUGACUAUAAAAUCCCCACGAAAGCAAGCAUUCAAGCAUCGCUUGUUACUCCUCGUCGUCCACAAUGAGGUCUCAGUUAUUUUCGCUCUGCUUACUGCUCGCAGCUCUGCUGGUGCUGCUGGGAAAAACAGAAGCUCAAAAUCCAGCGAUCUUUAUUCAUCUGAGUCGAGUCUCCAUUUCAUGGGGGUUCGCUAAACGUGUUUCCUGCAGCUUGCACGGGGGAAUGCCUUCCCGACUCUAUCCUCCGAUGCGGCGAUGUAAUAUUCCCGGAACACUGUCAGAAUUGCUGCACCAUCAGGCGGUACAGUGGGGGUAGAUGCGCUCUCAUUCGUAAUGGAGAAAUCAUCUGCGUGGGGGACAAUUAUUUACCUCCUUUUGGAACAUCCCCGCCUAGACCUUGAACGGUGCAACAAGAUGUUUUAUAAGAUUACAUAAAUAAAGAGAAUGCUGAAAGUUUCCACACUGCCGAGUGGACUUUGAGGUUGGUCUUGCUACGUACUUUAUGCAAUCAAUUUGUAGCAGGCAGUCUAAGUGAUUUUCUAUCCAACCAUCAUUCAGGGUUCAAAAUUGAAUUUCUUUUUGACUGCCAAGUUUUUUUUAUUAGUCAUGUGACUACAAAGAUUUUAUGAAUGUAUUGCAUACAAAAUCUUAUAUCAACUAGUUGUAAUAUAAAUUUUUUCCCUGUAUUGUCUCUAACCCAAAGAUAUAUCAAUCCUAUUGAAUCUCCAUUUUUUGAUUAGCAACUUAACUUCUUCAGGAAUUGAUUGUUGGCUUUCUUUUUCUAAUGCAUUAACUAAGCCCCAAUAUAACUCUAUUUUACUUGUAGUUCAUUUCUAUUUCUUCUUAAUAGGUCAAAAUUUUAACUUGAGUAUAUGUAGUGAAAUGGGACAUACCUUGGAGCAUUAGAAGUAGUUGUAACUGCUUCAUCUAUAACAGAUUUUACCAUCUAACAGUUAUUAUUCAUUUAGAUUAAUUUUGUAUUUAUAAUUUAUAAACUUUCUUAAACACUUCCUAGUACAUUCUUUUUUAUUCUACCAUUGGUUAAUAUGCAAUAAAAUUAAUCUUGAUUUAUAAAUUAUAAACAUGUUUAUCAUUAUUAAUCAGUUUUAUAUAUAUAUAUAUAUAUAUAUAUAUAUAUAUAUAUAUAUAUAUAUAUAUAUAUAUAUAUAUAUAUAUAUAUAUAUAUAUAUAUAUAUAUAUAUAACACCAUGCCUAGGUAAUAUGCUAAUUAUAGUACUCUAUAACAUAUAGAAUAUCCAUUCAGGACUUAAUUUGGUCCAUUCAUAAAGAGGGGUCUAAACCCUAAUUAUAUUCACAGUGUUUAUAAAUUAUAAAUAUGUUUGUAAUUAUAAAAUUUUAAUAAUUAAUAAUAAUAAACAUUAUUCUUAUAGAAAAAAAACAGUGGUCAAUUUUUAACCCUUUUCCUUUGGUGCUGUUUUAAUAAAAUGCCAGGUUUCAUGUGCUGCCUUUCUCAAGUUCCAAUUUCUAAACCAUCCCAUGGAAUGAGUUGCUAGAGCUCGCCAUUGCAUGCAGUGUUGCUGCAAGUACAGUCCUUAUAAUCAGGCUCUUUGUUGUUCUGGGCUCUUAUGCAAAAACAAAAGAUGCAGAAACGAGCUGUACACGGCCCUCUAAGAAUACUGCAGUUAGAAGGUUUUCUCAGUAGUCGGGGAGACGCAGUUUUUAGCCAAAGUUCAUGCAUUUUGUGUGGUUUCUGCGUUCCAUUUUACAAGUUUCAAGUUACUGCUUUAUGAGUUCCUGCCCAAAGGUUUGCUGGACUAAUGGAUUUUAAAAGCCAUAACCUGGAAGCACUCCACUGGCACUUGGAAGUCGGAACUUCGGUCUUGCCUACCUGCACAAAGAACCUGGAAACCAAAACGAGAAAUUUGGCAUGGCAGUAAAAUAGAUAGGUGACGGGAGACCAAAAAGGAGACAGUUGUAGUAGUUAUAUUGUGUCGUGGACGUUGAUGAUCGCGGCCUGCGUGGAAGCGGAGUCGCUGCUGGCUCGGAUGCCAUACAAGGUCGUGAUUGCCGAGACCGUGAUCGUGGAAUCGCUAGCGAGAUCCGGAUGUGCGAUCGGAUGCCACAGCGGAAUGUUGUGGCCUAGAACACAGCUUACACGCGAAGUGGAGACGAGAGUGGAGACCUUGAUCGAGCGAGCUUACUGUGUGACGCAAUGCCGGAGAAGGAUCAAGUGUCCUGGAACAUCUUGGCGCAGAGGUAUGCCUCGGAGUGAAAUCUGGCCAUGGUGAGGCAUUUCUUCAAAGAGAAUGCCGAGGAGAGAUGUGGUUUCUUGGACCGCGAUGCUCGUCACGCACGCGAGCAGCUGGGAAAUCGACAAGGAAAUGUUCUUGUUUGAGAUUAUGCCCGGAAAGGAUGUGAUCGCCUGGAAUAUCAUGAUCGCCGCCAUGCCAGAUCGGGAAAUCUCCACACUGCCAAGAACCUCUUCGACAGCUCUCCAACGCGGGGCCUGGUUUCUUGGAACAUGGCAGUCGAGGCCUACGCCGAGCACAGCUAGCUCCAAGAAGCGAACUCCCUGUUCGACGCGGAACGCAAUUCUCCAAGCGUACUUUCGAGCUCUUCUUCGAUCGAAUACCGGAACUCGUUGUAGCGUGGAACAGCGCCAUGCAACCGCACGCCGAGCGAGGCCUGCGAUUGUUCCACGCAAUGCCGGCGUGUCGUCUCCUGGGUGAUCCUCGUCUCGCGGCGGGCACUUAAAAGAAGGGAUGUAGUUGACGGGGCCAGGGAUUGGAAAGUGGUCACCUGGAACGCCAUGCUUGCGUGCUAUGGCAGCGCGUGAAAUAUUCGAUUCCAUGGGCGACUCAAGACCUUGCCCUCAGAGAAACCACUUGGAACUUGUUCAUGCCGCACAUGCCCAAUGUUAGGAUCCUAUCCCUUACACCCUAAGCCAACUGGCUAAAGGGGUGAUCACUUGAUUGCAGGGCCCUUUCCUUAUCCUAUUAUCCUGACCUGGUGCCUAACAAUCUUCCCUCGUCAGAGAAUGAUCGUCCGCGAUCAUACUUAGGCCACCAUCUGGUCACCAUGGUCCUUCUCUUAGGGUCUCCCAAACCUUGGUUCUCCCUCUAGAUUCACCAUGUUAAAUAUUCUUUCAGAAUAUUCUUGCCCCACUCAUCAGCCACGAGAAUCAAACUAGGCUCCAAUACCAUUGUUAGGAUUCUAUCCCUUACACCCUAACCCAACUGGCUAAAGGGGUGAUCACUUGAUUGCAGGGCCCUUUCCUUAUCCUAUUAUCCUGACCUGGUGCCUAACACCCAAGAUUGGCAAAUUGAGGAGCGCGAUCCCUGUCAAGGCCAUGGCAGCAGCAUGUUUGCAGUUUGGGCGUCUCGAACACAAGAUCUUUGAGACAAUGCCGGAGAGGAACAGUGUUUCCUGGAACGCAAUGCUUCAUGGCCAUGCCAAAAACGCUCAUGCUGUAGAAGCCUUGGAUCUUUACAAGAGGAUGGCGUGUGCCCGAUGCCAAUUCUCAUCGCCAGGCUUGCUCGCUCCAUCCUUGGUCGCCCCGGCAAGAUCCCAGAGACCCAAGAGCUGCUCCACAGCCAACCAUGUUGCCUACACUGCUCUUUUAAACUCCUCCAGAAACGCUGCUCUAGCUUCUUCACUGAGGUCUUCCCCUGUGGAUACCAUGUAUGUUCUGCUGUCCAACUUAGCUGCCCAAAAUGCUACUUUUCACAUUAUUGGCUUUACAUACCAUGCUUCAGCUAUAAGUUUUACUUCUGUUUUACGAGAAUACCUUGAAGAAUUGGCCUCUCAUGACUUUGAUGAAGGCAUGUGUACCUGCGCAGUAUCCUUAUUUCUCUUUGCUUAUAAAUGCUGCAUUGAGGUUGGACGGAUGCUGAGUGGUAGUUCUGUUUCUUGUUAUAAUAGGUUCUGGUCUGGUUUGAUCAAAAAACUUCUCUCAACAACGGGAAUCGUUCCAGGAUGCAGUGUUCAUUUCCUCAAAGAUCUUGCGUGAUUGAUCAAGAUGCGGGAAAAUGCUGCAGCUAUGGUGGUCCAGAAUAUUACGUCCUUGACAGGAAAGUUUGUAAAGUCUCCUCAAAGUUGCCCACUUUAGGCAUGUGCUUUCAAUACAUGCUUUUGGGGUCUUAUGCUUUUGAAGCAUAAGACCACUAAGAAGAAGAAGGAUCGUCUCUACCUCCUACUCUCUCUCUCUCUACACUCUCUUGUGCUUGAGCCGCCCGAAUCUCCUGGUAGAUGGCCAAGUAGUGCGAAUUUCCAGUCGGGUUUUGAGAAGGCCUUCCACAAGCCUAUGACAAUCGAAGUUUCACCCGUUCUUUUCAGUAGUUUCGUAGUUGCAUCCCAUAUUGAACUCUGGUACUUUCUUGACUGGGAUGCCAAUCGCCUGUAAUACCGAGCACACGAAAGUCAAGUAGAGCCCACAAUAGGAGACACCUUACAGUCAUCGCUCACCUUUCGUACAGGCACGUUUCUCCAGGACCAGCUGACUAUAAAAUACCCACAAAAGCGGGCGAAGGCAAGCAUUCUGCUCAUUCAAGCAUCGCUUGUUAUCGUCCACAAUGAGGUCUCACUUAUUUUCGCUCUGCUUACUGCUCGCAGCUCUGCUGGUGCUGCUGGGAAAAACAGAAGCUCAAGGUAAGGAAGUAAAAUGCUGAAUCCAGCGAUCUUUAUUCAUCUGAGUCGAGUCUCCAUUUCAUGGGGGUUCGCUAAACGUGUUUCCUGCAGCUUGCACGAAGGAAUGCCUUGCCGGCUCUAUCCUCCGAUGCGGUGAUGUAUUAUUCCCGGAACACUGUCAGAAUUGCUGCACCAUCAGGCAGCAGUACCGUGGUGGUAGAUGCGCUCUCAUUCGUAAUGGUAAAAUCAUCUGCGUGGGGGACAAUUAUUUACCUCCUAAAGGGACCCCGUCUAGACCUUGAACGGUGCAACAAGAUGUUCCACAUAAGAUUACAUAAAUAAUGCUCUUGAGGCCUGGAAUGCUCUCUUUUUUUUCCCAUGCUGCCUUUCCCAAGUUCCAAUUUCCAAACCAUCCCAUGGAAUGAGUUCCUAGCUUGCCAUUGCAUGCAGUGUUGCUGCAACUACAGCCCUUAUAAUCUGCUCUUUGUUGUUCUGGGCUCUUAUUCAAAAACAAAGAUGCAGAAACGAGAUGCGCAGGGCCCUCCACAAAGAGUCAGAAUACUGCAAUUAGACGUCGGGGAGACGCAGUUUUAGCCAAAGUUCAAGCAUUUUGUGCGUUUCAUUUUACAAGUUGCAAGUUAUGAUUUUAAAAGCCAACACUCCAUUUCCAGGUGGAGUGCAAUUUGUAAACCCCCUUUUCCAUGGUGAAAAAGUCACGCGGUUUACAAAUUGCAUACACUGGCACUCGGAAGUCGAAACUUCAGUCGAGGUCUUACCUACCUGCACGGAAAACAGACUUAAAAGAUCAAGCCACAAAGCUGUAUAUCCCAUACUCUAAAUUCAUACUAAAGGUUAUAAACUAAAAUAUUAUUAACUACUACAAUUGUCUCCCGUCAAUUUUCCUGCGUUUAACAGUGUUACAAGCAACACAAGAACACUGGGGUGAGAAAGAUGCCAUUGGAAAUUGCUGUAUCAAGGAUGAAUCGCCCAUCCAAUACCACCGUGGCGAGUGGCAACUUUAUCCCCUUGAGCAGCAAUGACUCGCCUCCCACAAUUGACAUCCAAAGCUUUGACGAGAUGGCACCUCUGACGUUCUUCUAUGAUCUAUGUUGACCUGGUUUUCACAGGACCCGCAUUCUCGAGCCUUACGUUGCUCCUUCCAACAACAGCCACAACAUUCCAUACUCGAAUCCUUUGAGUGUGAGGAACCACACAUAUGAUUUCGUGGUCGUCCCACUGGUGAAGCCCAUGGACAGCCGUGUCGUCCACUCCCUGGCUGAUACCAUCCAGCAGUACCCGUUUCGUUCACCACCUCGCUCCACCAAAAGUAAAAGCUUAUACGAAUGAAUGAAAAAUCACCUUUUCCUUUGUUCGAAACCAUUCUCCGUCAUUUCCUGCUCAUUGAUCCCACCAUGUCGCUGCACGACGCAAAGAUAGCUUAGCAAUUUUACAUGACAACAGCGCCAUUCGUUUUUCCCCUGUCAACUAGUUCAGAAAGUGAAUACCUUGAAAGAACGCUCACGGGAAGGUGUGUGUACCAUGCGCGGCAUCCUUAUUUCUGGUCUGCGAGGUCCCCUCCGAGUCGUUCCAAUCUUGCUUGUAAACGCGCCAUUGGCAAGCUUAUAGAGGUCGGACGGAUGCUGAGGUGGGAGCUUUGUUUCUUCGAAGUCCUGCGAUGUAGGAUUGUUAAUCAUUUUCUCAUAGGUUCUUGCCUGGUUUGAAGAAAACAACUUUUCUCGCUGCCACAGAAACCUCUGCCGCUCCUCUUCACCAACAGGUUGGAAUUUGAGAUCACGCUGUGAAAAACUGCCAGGUUCAAUCCCAUGCAGAAGCUUCUCAAUAAUGUCUCUUGCGUCCGUAUCGUCCAGAUCAGCAAGUGAAGGAGAGUUUUCAAUGUUCUCGCGUAGCUGAUGGCAGGCUAAUUUUUCAGACAGAGGAUACACCUGCGGUCAAACACAAGAGUUUAUCUAUACCAAAACAUGGAAAAUAAUCAAGUUACCUGAAUAAUGAAACCUCGGGCAGUCUUUACAAUGUUGUGUUCGUCAAAUUUCAUAGCUAAGCUAGCUGCUGUAUCCAUCUGCAAGGAUGAAAGACAAUGUGUGAAGAAAACAGAGCGACCAAUCAAUAUUACCUUCUGGUUUUUCCAAAGAAAAUAUGCUAAGCUCUCUGCAACUUCACGAGAUGGUCCCAUCGGGGACCUACAACAUGAGAAAGAACAGAAGGAUAGAAACGAAAAUCACUUGCUAGAUGGAGCGUACUUACACAAAGGUUCUGUGAGACUUCGAUAGGCUUAUAGACAGGCGCAUGUCACACUCUCUGACUACCGUGGCCAUGAUCAUCUGAAGAUAUGACAAAUUAAGUUCCAUAGUUUUAUCAAAGCGGGGACUUACGUUUCCAUGAGAACUGUGGCUUAGAUUGUGGACGUGACCCGUCGUGAAACCAUCAAAUGUAGUGGCCGCAUGAACAAAUCCAAGACGUCCAUCGCAUACUGUUGAUAUCUGACGAAAAACAUCAUCAACUCACCUGCAAACAAUGAUAGAGAAAGGCAAAACGCAUCGCACCGUGAUAGCAUUCGCGUCGGGAAAAAUCGAGCUCAAAAGAACCGAUCCCAUCAUCGCGUUACCAAGAACGAUCGACGACUAAAGGAGAAAAAACAAUAACCAAUCCAAGAAAUGAGCAGGCUCCACAUACCAUUCGAGAAGUUUGAAGCGUUCUCUGAGCUUCCCGAACGAGAGCAUCGGCUUUGACACUAUGAAUCUCGAUCUAAAAUCCUCGUUAGUGUGUUCUUCAUUCAAUCAAUGGUACUGCAUACCUCUUCACUCGAGCUGACGCAGCUAAGAAUGUAAUCACCACUACCGCUGGAGGAGCAAAAGCCUGCACACAACGUUUGAUCCAAUCGUCAAGAGUAAAAGCGCUCGAAGACAAGGAAGCACUCACCCCUUCUCAACGCGAGUAGAGAACGCAACCUGCGCAUCGCAAUAUCAAAUGGAGACCUAAAACGUGAAUAUGCGAGAAGAAGGUAUUUGUGCUCCAAUCGAUCUUCUCGAGCAGCAAGGCUACCAUGCCGAUCUCCAGCUCUGCCUCCAGCUCGUCAAAUCUUGCGGUCACUCCAGGGAUCUCUCCCAAGCAAAGAAGCUCCACUCCCAGAUCCUUGCAACCAAGCACUCGCGCAAUCGGCACCUGGAGAACCUCCUCAUCGAGAUGUAUGGAAAAUGCGGGAGUCUGGAGCGCGCGCGCGCGCUGUUCUUGACGAUCUGGAGGAGCCAAACCCCUUCUCCUGGCAGAGCGGGCAUCUGGAACAAGCCAAAGAGAUCUUCCAGCGAGAUGGCACGGCACAACACCGUCUCCUGGACUGCACUGCUCACCGCGCAUUCCCAGAGCGGGACUUUUCAAGAAUCCUGGAGCCUGUUCCAAUCGAUGCCCCGGAACAACACCAUCGCCUGAAACGCGAUGAUCGCGAUAAUCCCUAGCGCGAUUGCUCUUCGUCCUGGAAUGCGAUGCUAACGGCAUAUUCCAAGAACGGGCUGCAUCCUUUUGCUACUAACCAUGCCUUUUAGUGUUCGAUCUCGUUUGACUCCUUGUAUUUGAGGUUGUGGAUCCACUUACACUUUAUAAUCGAUGUGCCUGUAGGUAUAGACUCCCUAAGAACAAGGCUCCAUGCAUCAUUCUCAAGCUGAGCGUUAUACUCGCUUUGCAUAGCAGCCUUUCAGUGAAAUCUUUGUGGUCCUCCAAGUACUUCCUGUAAAGUUAGAGGUUCUUGGAUAACUUGAGCAACCUAAGCAUGAUAUUGUAGAAUAUUUCUUGUUGGCUUCUAGGUUCUGGUUGAGUGAUGCUAGGAAUCCAUUCUCGUUCAAGCUCUAUUUGAAUAGUUUGUUCAACGUCUUGUUCUUCUAUAGAACUUUCAACAUAAGAGUACCUAUAGUUAAAUCACUAUAAGUUGAGGGAAAUCUGCUGGCAGUUGUUUUUAUCAGUGGAGGUGGUUAUGGAGGGAGUGACAUCGUUGUUCCUCAAGCUGCCAAGACACAGUUAGAUUGAAGUCUGAUAAAUACCUAAGUAUUAGAACUUCCAAUUGAAGUAGAAGUUGAGUAUGUAGGGAUCAUUUCUCUAAAGAGACGAGUCCUCCAAACUAGGAAUUUCUUCUGGCUAAAAACCACACUUGAUAUCCUUCUUUUGUGGUCUUGCUAUAGCCUAGCAUCAUGUAUAUAAUAGUCCUAUCUUCCCACUUGUUUUGUCUUUGUUCAUCAAAGGUAUGGGAGUAUCCUAUACAGCAAAAAGCACGUAAGUAAAAGAUGGUUUCAUACCUGUCCAUAAUUCAGAAGGGGUAGUACAUUCUGAAUAUACUGCAGUAUUGACUGCCUCUGCUUAUAUGAAACAUAUGCUUUGUGAGAAACAUCCAAAAUAGUGAGCAUCUCUCUCUACAACUCCAUUUUAUUUGUGAUCGUAUAUUUGGAGAGAAACACCUUGAGAUGCAAGGAUGGUUUGGACCUUUGUAAAAAGUAGUUUUUGGCCUCCAUCAAUAUGAAGAAUUCAGAGACUAUUUGAAUGGAAUUGUAAAAUUUGAGAGGAGUUUAUUUUAGGAAGUAAACAAAAGUGUGAUGACUGAAGUCAUCCACAAUUAGUAAGAAAUAUUUAGUCUCAUUUAAAAUCAGAUAGACCCUAGAUAUCUAUAUGAACUAGUGCUAAUAAAAAAGUACCUUGAGUCUUACCUUUUUGGGUUAUGGCUUCUUCAUUUUUGCUUGAAAAUAUGCAUUGCAAUCUUCUAGACUUGGUCUUUCCAGUUAUGGUAUACCAUUUAACAGUGCUAGUGUUUGUAACACGACAAAAACUUGCAUAUGUUAAUCCAUAGUGCCAUAAUUAUAAUACAGAAUCAUUAAAUAUUGAAAUAGUAUGAGCUGCCAAAGUAUCUAAAGAAACAUAAUAAAGUCCAUUUAUAUAUGUAGCCUAAGUUAUUUGAGUUUUAUUGAAAUUGAAAUUUGCUCUUGUCCUAUGGAAAACCAUAUAGAUUCCUUGUUUUAAAAGCUUAGAGAUAUAUAAAAGAUGACAAAUAAGCUUAGGGAUAUACAAAACAUUAGUAAUCUUAAGAUUUAAAAUGGGAAAAUAGCUUGUACCAAAAGCAAUUAAUCAUAAAUCCUCACCACUUUUAGUAUUUGUAGACAUUGAAAACUUCUUAUAUUUGCUUUGAUAAAAGAGAGUUUUGUCCAAUGUUAUAUGGUGUGUAGCUUCAUAUAAUUCAAAAACAUCUAAGAAUUUGGUGGAGCAGUCUCAUAUGAAAUAUGUUGUAAUGAAUGUUAUAGGUUUGGAUAUGUUACAGCCAAUUUUCUAAAUUCACAAAGCAAUUAUAAAUGUAAAGGAUUAGUUGUCACUUUUAUAAUAAUACACUAUAAUGAACAUGAUGAUUUUUUGGAAAGUACUUUAAACUUUGAGGAUUUAUCUAGUUUUCAUAUAGAUUAUGCUGAGAUUGAGAAGUGUCAAAAUCUAAGUUGGCUUCUAGAUAUUAUUGGAGAAGUGCUCUGACAUUCUCGCAACUAAAGCCAUAUCUCUCUUUCUUUUAUUAGUCAUUAUUAUCUUUAUGUUUAUUUUUAACUUCAAAAAUACCACUUAAGCUUGCAUAAUGAUAAAUGUUGGCAAUGACUUGGUCAAAACUUGGUCAUGUUUGAGUUUCUUGAAGCUUCAACUUGGCCAUUUAAAACUUUUCACUCAAUAAAAAAAUUAAUAAAACUCUAAUAACACUUGAAAAACCCAAUUUUAUACUUUAAAGUUUAUUACUGCGAAGAGUCAUUUCUCAAUAUAAUCUUAAACUUUCUCUUGAUAUUUUUACUUACAAUUCACCAUUUGUAAAAAAAAUAGUUAUAUCUAUCAUUUAUUAUUAUUUGUAAUAAAAUUGUUGAAGAGUGUUUUACUUCUAAUGAAUUAAGAUAUUUCUUCACCUUGAGAAUAUUUUUUUAGUGCACUCUCUAAAUGAGAAUUAAUUUUGCAACAAUAUUCUUUUACUCAAAAUCUUUAUAUUAUUUUUGAUGCAAUUGUUUUUGCAUUUUUACUACAUCCUUUAAAGAUAUCACUGCUAGUGAUUGAUCUCUUCUAGAAACAAUCUUAAAAAAUAUAUUUUUGUUGAGUUUUACCUCCAUAAUUAAAAGCCAUUUAAAUACAUUAUUAUGCUAUAACAAAAUCUUAAAGUUUAUUAUCCUCAAAGCUCAACCAUUUUCCCAUUCUAAUCAUUCUAAUAUUUACUUGUGUUUGAUUUAUCUACUUACCUCUAUCUUUUUUUGAUAGGUAAUGACUCAUUUGUUAAGCUAAUAUAAAUAAUUAAAAAGAAUAACUCCCUCUUUUUCAAUCAAUUAAAGUUUAUAUUUAGUGUCAAAGGGGUCUUUAGUAAGAAAAAUCAUGUUAUAUGUUAAGAUUGACAUUUGGCUAGGGAAAUCUUAUUAUAUAUUGAAAUUGACAUUUAACAAUUCAAUCAAAAGAGCGAACCUUUCGGGUCCGACUUUGUUGGUUGGUUAGGGGAAUCACAUUAUAUAUUAAAUUUGACAUUUGGCAAUUUAAUUAAAAGGUCUCGGGCCCAAUUCUGUUGAUUGGCUAGGGGAAUCAUAUCACAUAUUGAGUUUGAUAUUAAGGGGUGUAAUUAAAAAAAUCAAGCUCUCAAGAAAGUUAUAGCAUCCUUUAGGUUUAUUUAAAUAAUACUAAUAUUUGGCCCCUCUUUUACCCACUUUACACUUGCAUUUCAUCCCAUCUCCGGCAAUGAAGGAAUUCAAGCAGUGGCAGCAAUACAAUGAGAAGGGAUCCAUCCAAUUUUCAAAAAGUUCAACGAAGACUGUUUCUGAGCUGAGCUAAGAAAAGAAAUUAAAAAAAAUGAGAGAGAAGAGAGGAGUUCAAAAACCCUAGACCAAGUAAGAAAUUUGAUAUAGCUAUGGAAAUGUUGUGCCAUGAGCUGCAGGAAAUCCAAGCCAUGGUGCUGGAUCGAAUGCACUUUGAGACUGCAAGCUCUAAACUUAGUACAUGUGGCAAGCUUUGGUUAGACGAUGCUGAUGUAAGUCUCAUUAAGCUAGUUCACAACUUGUUGGGCUAACACCUCGCUUGGGCAAAGAUGGGCUUGCCCUACCCAUGACCCAAUCUUCUGCCACUUGUUUUCAUGAUCUUGCUUCUCAUGCCAAAGGAAACCCUAAAACAAAAAGAACAUUCAUUCCUCUCGUACAAGAUUUGUAUUACACCUUCAAAGUCUCACAUCUUGAUAUACAUAAGGGGUUCCUAGAAUCAUGCCACCAUGCUCUAGUAACAUAGUGAUCUGUUCUGACAGCUAGAUCCAGGCACCAUACUGCCUACUGUUUCUAAAAGGACAACAGCCUUCUUUAAGCCUGGUUGAAAUGUCACUUCCUUGUCUACUGUAUUUUAAGAUCCAUGCUGCCAGACAAAGUCAGAAAAUAUCCCUGCAUGACAAAGUCAAGAUACGGGCUUUCACCAUCACUGUUGCAACAUCUAGAUCAUCAUCAAUCUCCAGCAGUGACUUGAAUGCUAGCUGCCCAACACCGGUAAAACUGAGACGAAAGUUGAAAGAGGCUGAAAACUUUGUGAAGAUGCUAUAUAGAGCGUUCCAGUUUACCAUGUCUUCUCUGGACGUAGAGUCAAAGACCAACCCCCAGUUCUGGACAUGACUCGUGUUUUAGUUACCUAUCCCAUUGCCAAAGUGGUAAAAUCUCCAGGAAGAAUAUGAUCCAAGCCUGGAACUCUUUUAUUUUUAUCGAUGAUGCUCGAGUCUAUAUUGUCAACGGUGACAAUAAACUCUAAAAUACAAUUAGCACAAACAUCUUAUUCACUUCGUUUAGAGCUUGUAAGCUUCUAUAACUUGCUCCUUGGAAGGAACGGACACGAGGGAAACGUUGCCAAAGCCACUGUUCUCGAGCAGCGCUUUGUGUUCUUCAAAUCGCCUGGUCUUGCCACCGUCUGUGAAGCCGAUCAUAAUCAUGUCCAGAUCCAUCUCGAAUGGUCUCUCCUUGGAGUAUAUGAGCUCGAUCACUAUCAGUUUGCCUCCUCGUGGCAGAGCUUUGUAGCAAUUCGCCAGCAUCUUGAGGCAAUCCUCGUCGCUAAAAUUGAUGAUUACAGACUGAAGAAACACCACGAAGAUCAUAACGUCAAGGAAAAGAAGACAGAGUACCUUGAUAAGAAGAGCAUCAGCACUUGGUACACUCUCAAACAUGUUGCCUCCCACAUGAGCAACACCUGUUAAGAAAAAACAUGAAGAAAUCAGAAGAAAAUGUGUCUUGAAUCUUACCGGGAAAGGCUGGAGCGCUCGAAACGGUGUGAGGGAGAUCAAAGUUGACACCUUCGAUGUGGGGAUAUUUCUCCACGAUCUUGCCCAUGCACAUUCCAAGGCCACCACCAACAUCCACGAGCUUCUUCACGUCUUUGAAUCCAUCGUAGUGCUCGAGGACGAGGGAGAUAGUGACGGUGCUCCAUGCGAGCGUAGCCUUGUUGAGCAGCUCCACGUACUCGUCGCCGUGGCCGGGGUCGUGCUCCCAAAGACGAACUUUGUUGACCAUCUCGUAAGCGUGGCCUCCAUCCAGCACCGCUUCGUUCACUUUUUGGAACGCGGCCAUGGGAUACUCGUGCGUGCACAAGAGCAGGAGAUGGUGCUCUUCCGCGAGCCACUUUGAGAUUGGAGUGAGGCCGUAGUACGUUUCUCCAUCUUUCUCGAUCUUCUCGCUCAGUGCCCGCUUGUGGACCAGAAACUGGAGGAUUCUCUCGAGGAGAUCCGGCUGACAGUUCUUGGCAUUUGAGAGACGUGACACGAUCUGCUUGAGGGAGAGCGGCCCUGCCUUGGAGAUCAUCUCGGGAAUGCCAAGCAGCACCACAGCCUUGAGCAUGAAAGGAGUCACCAGCGAGAAGAUCAUGCUCUUGAGAUCAAAGUGGCCUUGAGCAUCUUCACUCAUGGUGCUAGAUCCAGGCGCCAUACUGCCUUCUGCUUCUGAAAGGAUGAGAGUAAAUGAGAGCCUUCUUUCAGCCUGGUUGAAAUGUCACUUCUUUUAUACUGUAUUUUAAGGUCGACGCUGCCAGAACAGCGUGACAAAGUCGGAAAAUAUCCUUGCGUGACAAUAUAUCUUCAUCGGGCUUUCACCAUCAAUAAAUAGGCUGCUGCAAUAUCUCGAUCAUCACCAAGCUCUAGCAGCGACUCAAACGCUAGCUGCCCAAUGCUUGCAUUUUUCCACUUGCCACAAGCACCUAGCACAGUCCUCCAGCAAAGUCAAAUCUACAAGCAUUGAAACAAUAGGUAUCACCCACCCUCCGAAAGUUGGCAUGAGAGGUCUCCUGCUCCUUUGCAUUAGCACUAACCAUGGUGGCGGUGGAGUGACCAGCAAGUGUGGAACUUACCUUUACCCCUGGGCUGGUCGUUGCUGAUUGCUGCCGCUGCCCAUUGGCUCAUCACCGUUCGCUCGCCCCUUGGCUGAUCGCCCCUGAAAGGAGACGAACAGCAAACAAGAGUGAGGAAGGAGACGCAUCCUUUCCAUCAGAUUGGCAGAUGUUUCGGAAUCGUUAUCGUCUACUCAACCAGGCACUCUUUACAUGCGUGGGCACCAUUCACAUGAAGCUAGUAUAUAAGAAAGAAAGUUUAUAAACAUGGUUAUAUGUUUCUUAUUGGAUCUAGGGCUUUUGGCGCAAUGAGCCAGUGCGGCAUUUGCAGUGGCGCGGUCUCCAAGUACAAAUGCCCGGGCUGCCUGGUGCCCUACUGCUCGCUGCAGUGCUUCAAGGAUCACAAGGCAGCGCCCUGCACGAAGGUAGCGGCGGCGGAGGAGGAGGAGCAAGCCCAGCUCGUGCAGCCGCCGCGGGAUUUCGAGAAUGGGGAUGAAUCGCAGGUGGCAACCAGGCUCCGGAGGCAGCAGCUCGAGGCGGUGGCGGCGUCGGAGGAGAUCCGCGCCAUGCUCAGGAACGAGGAGCUCCAGGCGAUCGUGAGCAAGAUCGAUGCGUCGGCCACUGCGGAGAAAGAUCUCGACACCGCCAUGAAUCUGCCGGAUUUCAAGGGUUUCGCUGACAAGAUCCUCGAGGUUAUUGCCUCUUUCAGGUAGAUCAUGCCCUCCACGAGCAUCUUAGAGAUCUAGAAUCGAGUCUUCUCUCUUUCUUGGGGUUUUACUGGAUAGAAAUGGCGUCUUUGGCGAUGGCAGCGGCAUUCUCUCCUCUACCUCGCGCCAAUCUCGCCCCAGGAUGGACAGGCUCCUCCAUCGCAGUGAGAGCGCAGGCUAAAUCUCCCACGGAGAAGAAAGAGAAGAAGAAGCGCUCGCCGCCAUCGUCCUCGUUCUCCUCCUCGUCGGGCAGGCAGAGGGAUUUCGAGGAUGGAAUGCUCAUCUGGGACGAUGUGUUUGAGAAGUGCUGCGAGGAUCCGGAGCGCGCGGCGGCAUUGAUGUCGGUGGCGGAGAGGGGAUUGAGAGAGCACGGGCGAGGAUGCGUCUUCGUCCGGGAGAUCGCCAAGGCCGUCUCCAAGGGCGCUGGGACCGGCUUCAUGGGUCGAUCGAGGCCUCUGGACAGAUCCAAGAAGAAGAAGCCGGCGUUCUACAAAUCCGAGAGCUGGAGCGUCGAGUAUGUCCCUCGCAAGUUUAUCAUUGAUCCAAAGCUCGCUCCCAGUGAAGAGGAAGGAGAAGAAGGAAAGGUUAUCCCUGAUCCGAAGCUCUCUCCUAGUGACGAGCAACCGACACUGCCAACUUCGUCAGGAAGUGAGAACUCGAGUUCUUCCAGCUCCUCUUCUCAGGUUUGUGUGAGAAAUUCCAUUCCAUCGUUUCGAUAUUCAAUGCUUUCUUGCAGACCACCGAAGAUCUCCCGCUUGUUCGUCGCAAGGACUUGAUGAUCGUGCUGAGAGGAAUGGACAGAACGAGAGUUUUGAGCUUGACAUCCGAGAGGCUGAUCAAAGACAGCAUCACCGCGAGAUCCGUCCAGAAAACCAGCGAAGAAGAUGAAUUCGAUGCUGGCGGGGAAGAACCAUACAUGCCAUCGAAGCAAGAGCUCGUGUUACUUCUUCACGUAGAUUUCGAUGGAAUGCCCUCGGUUGGCGCGGAUGUUCUUCAAGCACACUCGACUGGCGAUGGCAGGUGGAAGCUCCAGCUGAGAGAUUUCCAGCUCUACCAAUAGGUACUUUGGUUUUUCGCAUCGAUCAAAAGCUUUUCUAACGGAGAACUUCAUGAUCUACUGGGUGUAGGUGUUUGAGAGCAGCACAUAUGAAGAAGCGUGUCCUGGAUCCUGUUUGAUCGCUCGCUCGGUGGUUUUGACUGCUCGCCGAGAAUCCUUGUGGAGUUUGCAAGCCGAGAUCAAAGAGAUCCGAGCGGCACGGUCCGGGACGAAGGGCAUGCUCUCAAACAAAUCCUCGGCAGCGCCCAGAUGCCCAAGACGAGCAAGAAUGUCGAUCAAGCAGCCGUAGUGCUCGGCGGUGAUCGCGAGAUUUUUCCUGUCUGUGGUGACGGAAUAGAAUUGCCGCAACGCUUCCUUGAGAUCGCCCAGAUGGCCACAAGCCGUGAGGAUUCCUACAAAUGUGAUCUCGUCGGGCGAGGCUCCACCGUCUAGCUCCAUGAGCCGGAAGAAAUUUAGCGCUUGCUGGCCAUGCCCCUUCUGGGCAAAUGCCUGAAUGAUCGAUGACCAGGCUACCACAGUUUGAUCUUCCAGCCGCCAAAACGCGCGCUCGAUUAGAUCCAAACGCGAGUGCCUUGCGUAUGCUUGGAUCAGCACGGACCAAGACACAGCGUUCCUUUCGGGCAUAGAGUCGAAGAUUAAAGCCGCUAUUUCCAGAUACCCGUUUAGGGCAUAUGCUUGAAAGAGUGUGGUCCAAGAGAUCACAUUGCAUGAAGGCAUUUGGUGGAAGAAUCUCUCGGCCUCCUCCAAAUGCCCCGAUCUGGAAUACGCAGCUAGCAGGGCAUUCCAGGCAACGAGACUCCUGUGAGGCAUUGAAUCGAAGAGAGCUCUUGCGUGAUCCAGGAGCCCUUUCUCGGCAUACGCCACUAGCAUUGCCGUCCACGACACCACAUCUCUCUCGGGCAUUCUGUCAAAGAGCUCCAUGGCUCGAUCGAAAUCCCCGGCACUGGCAAACGAUUGAAGCAUUGCAUUCCAGGCGACGAUAUCUCGCCGCUCCAUCGCAUCAAACACACGCUUCGCUUGGCCAAGAUCCCCAAUCUGGGAACACACGACGAUCAUGGUGGUCUGCGCGAUCAAAUCCUUCUCUGGCAUUGCCGCGAAGAGCUCUUUCGCUAGCUCAAAUUCUCCCGCCAUAACGGACGCCUGGAUCAUCGUGUUCCAAGACACGUGGUCGCGAUCGGGCAUCGCAACGAACACCGCCCCUGCGCCCGCCACGUGCCCGGCAUUCGCAUAUGCCGUCAGCAUUGCAUUCCAGGUGACCGUACUUUUGUACGGCACGGAGUCGAAGAUCCUUCUCGUGUCGGGAAUGUGCCCGUUCUGGGAAUAUGCCGUUAGCAUCGCAUUCCAGGACGCGAUAUUCUUCCCGGGCGUGGCGUCGAAGAGCAAUCGGGCUAGGGCGACGCGGCCGUGGUGGCCGCAGGCAGCGAUCAUCGCGUUCCAGGCGAUGGUGUUGCGCCGGGGCAUCGAUUGGAACAGGCCCCAGGAAUCUUGGAAAUUCCCGCUCUGGGAAUGCGCGGUGAGCAUCGCGGUCCAGGAGACGGUGUUGUGCUGUGGCAUCUCGCUGGCGAAGAUCUCCUUGGCUUGUUCCAGAUGCCCGCGCUCGAUGUAGGCCGUGAGCAAAAUAUUCCAGGAGAAGAUGUUUGGCUCCUCCAGAUCGUCAAGAACAGCGCGCGCGCGCUCCAGGCUCCCGCAUUUUCCAUACAUCUCGAUGAGGAGGUUCUCCAGGUGCCGAUUGCGCGAGUGUUUGGUUCCAAGGAUCUGGGAGUGGAGCUUCUUUGCUUGCGAGAGAUCCCUGAAGUGACUGCAAGAUUUGACGAGCUGGAGGCAGAGCUGGAGAUCGGCAUGGUAGCCUUGCUGCUCGAGAAGAUCAAUUGAUCGCGUGGUCAUUCAUGCGCAGCUUCUUUGAUUUACGGUGCUGAGUUGAUGCUUUUCGUCAGAUAUCUACAAUAUGCGAUGGACGUCUUGGAUUUGUUCAUGGUCACGUUCACAAUCCAAGCCACAGUUCUCAUGGAAAUGUAAAUUCUCGCUUUGAUAGAACCAUGGAACUUAAUUUGUUAUAUCUUCAGGUGAUCAUGGCCAUGGCGACAUACGUCUAUAAGCUUAUUGAAGUUUUACAGUACUUUUGUGUAUGUAUAUUUAUAAGUGAUUUUAUUUUCUAUCUAUAUAUUUAUCUAUCUAUAUGUUAUUUUGAUAGUUUUGUAAAAUGUUAUUACACUCCACUCACUAGCCUUGCCUACCCGUCUUCUUUUCCUCAGCCAUUCGAGGUCUUUGAUUAUGGUUGCCUCCAUGGCAGGUGUGAGAUGCCAUCACAGCUCCAUGCAUUUCAGGUAAUUGGCAACGGAUGAGGUUGUCUCCUUGUUUCUGAGGAUUAUGUGUAUUUCAGCGCUGCAGUUGAAGUCUGGGGAGCGGAAUUCGGCACAGGGAGGGCAAGCCUUGAGUGUGUGCAUGAAUGUCUCUGUGUCUUCUGCACAGAUAGAGAUGUCGUGGAAGUUUUCCCUGUCCGCAGCAUCCGAGUUCAAUCAGGAGGCUGUGGCUUCCUGUCUGGUACUAGGCAAUGGUGUCUACUCCAUGUCCAAUCCAAAAGUUUUGUCUGGGUUUAUCUCCUGGCAAUAAAGGUAAUAUUUCGUGAAGUGUUUUCUGGCAUGUAUCCAUGUGUGCAUUGCUUUGUUCAAGAUCCUCUUCAUGUGCACUGAGAAUGUCAUUGAGAUCCAUGCCAAACUUCUGUGUCAACAUCUCCAUGUCAUGCCAUUGAGAGUUGAGACUUGCUUGAUCUGUGAGCAUGCCAUAUGGUAUGAAGUGAGUUUUACAGAGGUAUUGGAUUGUACAUCACUAUGCCAUGAUCUCUAGUGCAGCUUCUAUGAAGAGGAUGGGGAGUGCUGUUUUGGGUGGAGAUGCCGAGUUUGUCCAAAAUGAAAGUUGAUGUGAUAGUUUCCAGGUUUCCCCACUGCUUUUUAGAAAGUCCUACAUGUCUGGAUUAUUUUUAUGAGAAAAUAUGUCUUCUUCAGUCACUCAUGCUUUUCUACAAUCCUAUUGCAUUAUAUAAUAGAUGCAUUGACCUAGACACCUUUGAAACAAAAGAGUGAAUUUUAGGCUAACUUCCCAGCCCUUAAGGCAUGAUGCCUUUAAAUCCUAUAGACCAUAGGAUAGUCCUGUGGUUCAUGUCAUUCUCCCCUCUCUCAUGAACUAGUCAUAAAUGGUAGCCUCAAGAAGCUAAAUCAGUUUUAUAUAAAGGGAAUCCAAAACAAUAUGGUUAUAGAGAAAAAAUGUGUAAAUGGCAACACCAACAUUGUGACAAACAGCCAUAAAAGAAAGAAAGUAAUAUGGCUUUCUCACAUGAUAAUAUGGUCAUGGAAACAAGAAAAUAAAAAUAGAAUAAAUAGCUCAAAUUAUAUAGCAAUAUAGAUAAAACUUAAGUUUCCCCUUUCUUAGAGGAAUGUCAUCCAAGUUAUAACCAAAACUUAGCAACAUUUUCUUCACAUCAUCCUUGGUUUUUCAUGUAGUUUUAUCUAUGGAAUAACAAUUCUAUUAAACCAAUAACUCCUAAGUUGUUUUAUGGCAUGUUUUCACCAAUUUUUGAGCAAAAAUAUUAGAUCAUCCUUAUCAACAUUAAUCUUUAAGAUUUGGAUAAUGGAUUGAUCCAUGAUAUCACCAGAGUGUUAACAUGCUUUAAGCUUGCUUAUAUGGAAUAUUGGAUAAAUUUUCAAACUAGUUAACAAGUCCAAAGUGUAAACAAAAUCCUUCAUGCACUAUAAAAUUGUCCAAGGCCCACAAUACUAUAGAGAUAAUUUAAUAUUGCCACUUUGUUAUGCAUUUGACAAUUUAAGGAAAACUUUGUCCCCAACUUUAUACUUCUAAUGAUGAUAAUGCUCAUUGUCUUAUGUCUCAUAUUCAAUUUUGCCAACUUUUGUAUAUCCUUCAAGAAAUCACAAAUAUGAGACAUCCGAACCAAAGCUAAACUCAAACUCAUAGGAGACCUAUGUUUAUAGCCAUACAUCACCAUGAAUGGAGACAUGCUAAUAGACAAUUAAUAAGUGCUAUUGUGAGCAAAUUUGAGCAAAAACAAAUACUUUUCUUAUACUUCCUAGCAAAUCAAGUUUGCCAUAAAAGAGAUUAAUAUAUCUUCUAACAAUUGAUUUAUAUGCUAUGUUUGCCCAUAUGACUAUAGAUGUUUACCACUAUUUAUACUAAGUUUAGCUUCUAGUUUCUCAAAUACUAUUUAUCAAAUAAACUUGCUAAACCAAUCACUUAUAUAUCACUUAACAAACCAUAGAAACUAAAUAAUUAGUCUACAAACAGCUGAGCAAAUUCAAGAGCUUUAAUUGCCAUCUUCAUUAGGAAAAAGUGAAGAUUAUUUUCAUCAAAUGAUCUACAACUACCUAAAUAGCAUCAUUUCCAUGAAAGGCUUUGGGCAAGCUAGUGAUAAAGUUCAUCAAAAAUGUUAUUCCAUUUAUCCUUUGAUACAUAUGGAGGAUGAUAAAGGUUAAUAAACUUCUGAUGAUUAUAGUAGGUUAAACAACCAUGUAUAUACUUCUCAACAUCUAACUUCAUCCUAGGUUAAACUAAAUGCUUCUUCACCAACAUAUAAAUUCCCCCAGAUGCCUAACACUUAGCAUAUCAUGACACUCAAUAAAAAUUUGUUUAAUGAAUUUAUCAACACAAGGAACCACCACACAUCCCUUCUUCAUUAGGAUUCUAUCUUAUAUCUCAAAUGAUACAUUUGUCACCCUUCAAAUCUAUAGAGGUGUCCCUUGAAAAAGCCUUCAUAUGAAUAUCGGUGAUAAAAGAGUCAAAGUCAGUAAACUCCUUAAGUUCAUCCAAAAGAUUUUUGGAUAGCUUCAUGAACAAAAUAAAAUUCAUCAUCUUAAAUAAUGCAUCAGCCACUUUAUUUUCACCACCAAUAGUGAUAUCUUUAGAGGACAUAGCAAGGAUGACUCCAAAGCAAAGGCAACUAUAUCAAAAGCAAUAUGAGGAAUUUGAGUAGAAAGAUAUUCUCAAGGUGAUGAAUGUCAUAUUCAAUAGAAAUGUGACACACUCUUCAACAAUAGAACUGUUAAUGGUUAAGAGUGGUAGAGAUGAGUAGUUUUUGACAGAUGGUGAAUUGCAAGCAAGGAGAUCAAGAAAAAGCUCAUGAUUACAAUAAGAAGAUGAUUCUUUUCAGUGAUAACCUUCAAAGUAUGAAGUUGGGUUUUUUAAAUGCCAUUGGAACUUUGUUGAUUCUUGGAUUGAAUGAAAAGUUUCAGAAGGCCAGAUUAGAGCUCCAGACAACUCACACACAACCAAAUCUUGAUCAAGUCAUCACCAACAUUCAUCAUUAUAUAAAUUUGAGUGACAUUUUUUAUGAUAAAAACAACCUUGGAAGAUAGUAAGGACUAGUAGAAAGAAAAGGAGAUUGAUGGCUUUAGUUGCAAGAAUGUUAAAGUGCUUCUCCAAUAAAUGAUUCAAGACGUCUGGGAAUUCAAUGGAGCAAACUUGCAUGAAGCACGGAAAUUUGUAAUGAAUGUUGUGGGUUUAAACAUCUUCCAAUUCUCUAAGUUCACAAGAUGAUUGUAAAUGUAAAAUACUAAUUGCCACUCUUGCAAUAAUAGACUACAAUGAACAUGAUGAUUUCUUGGAAGAUAUUUUAAGUUUUGAGGACUUAUCUAGUUUUCACACAAAUGAUGCUGAGAUUGGGAAGUGUCAGAAUUUAAGUUAGCUUCUGGAUAGUGGAGCUACACACCUCAGAUAGAGCUCUCUUUUGUCAAAUAAGAUAUAGGAAGUUCUUAAUGUCUAUAAGUAUUGGAAGUGGUGAGGAUUUAUGAAUAAUUGCUUUUGGUACAAUCUAUUUUCCCAUUUUCAGUCUUGAGAUUACUAAUGUUUUAUAUGUCCCGAAGCUUGUUCAUCAUCUUUUAUCUAUCUCUUUAGAACAAGGAAUCUAUAUGUUUUUUCAUAUGACAAGGUUCUCACUUAUCUUUUUUUAAUGCUCCUUGAACCUAUACACUGAAGGACUUAAAUUCACAAUGUCCAAGCCUGCCCCUUUAUUUCCACCUUUUCCACCAACAGAACCCGACCCAACGAGUGUAUGGACUUCGUCUAUAAGAAGUAUAACAUUGCCUGGUGAUAUCAAGCAUGUCAGAUACAGCAUUCUAAGUAUAAAUAACGGAAAACUUCACCUGCUUUUCGCGUUUUCUCUAUGAGGCGUGUAACCCGAAAUUCUAGUUCACCCCGCUCCUUAGCUCCAGCAAGAAGCAAUCCCAUAUCCAGAGACAUCACUCGCUUCCCCUGUAUGCGCAAGCAAGAAUAAGUAAACUUCACCGCAGUUUAAAAAAUCUACUCACCGUGAGAAACUCUGGAACGUUUCCACUCGCAAUACGUAUGGGAAGGCCUUCAACAAUCGCUGUCUUGCCAACGCCAGGCUCUCCAAGCAAGAUGGGAUUGUUUUUUGUUCUUCUUCCUAGAAUCUGUACAACUCUUUGCACUUCACUGUCUCGGCCAUCAAUUUUCCCGUCACUAGCACGUAAGGUAAGAUCCACACAAAAAUCGUUGAGAGCACCUUUUUCUAGAAGACGGCGAGGUAAGACGACAAGCAUCGAAAGCAAACUAAUAAGUAAAGAGCGAACCUUUUCUACCAGGCUUCAAUAAAUUCACAACGUCCAAGCCUGCCCCUUUAUUUCCACUUCUUCCACCAACGAAGGCCGAGCCAACGAGCAUAUGGACUUUGCCUCUAGAAGUAUAACGUUGCCUUGUGAUAUCAAGCAUGUUAGAUAUAUCAUUCUAAGUAUAAACAAACCAAAAAACAACUUUACCUGCUGCUCGUGUUUUCUCUAAUUCACCACGCUCCUUAGCCCCAGCAAACAAUUCCAUAUCCAGAGACAGGGCUCACUUCUCCUGUAUGUGCCAGCAGAAACAUGUAAACUUCACUGCAAUUCUAGAACGCUUCUAUGGCAAGGCCUUCAGCAAUCGCUGUCUUGCCAACGCUAGGCUCUCCAAGUAAGAUGGAAUUGUUUUUUGGUUGUACAACUCUUUGCAACUUCAUUGUCUCGGCCAUUGAAAAGAUCAAUUUUCCGUCACUAGCAUGUCCACACAAUAAUCGUUGAGAGCGGUAAGACGACAAGCACCAAAAGCAAACAAAUGAGUACCUUUUCUAUCAGGACGUUUGCUUGAAGAGGCUGGCAGACUCACAGUAUUCUUCCGUCCUUGGCAAGUAGUUUCAGCUUUUAGCUUUUGCUUUUUCAAUCCAAGCCUGAAAGAAACAGUUGAGGCACACUCAAUAAACCAUUUCUAUCUAUCACGUAUUUGUCAAUAAUCUUAGUACGUCAUAUGCUCUGGGGUGAUGUAGUUCUUCUUCGACUGCUCCAGAGCCGCCUGAUGGUGACGCCAGACGACCUCCAUUCCUCUUCUUGGCAAUCAAGAUUACAUCGCGGCCGUGCUCGAAAAUACGCGCCUGGUGCAUGGUCAUAGAUGAAAUCCAGAGUUUCCGGAUUGGAGCUAUAAAAUUAAAGUCCAACGGCCUCGAAUCAUCAUUAUGUCCUGAUCUAAUUGUUCUUUUCUUUUUACCUCUAAAUUCAUUCAUUCAUUCAUGUUACUUGUUUACAAGGUUUCCACCAAGAAUCAUGACACCAAUGGAUUCAAGUAUGCAAGUGUGACAAUUGGUCUAUUUGUCAUCCAAUUUCGUCAGCAUCGAUGUUGUCUGCCUCGUCCCUUGUAGUGGAUGCUGUUUCAGCUGGCAUUGCCCUGUUUGGUUGUGGAUGGACGCGAGUGCUGGAUUCCUCACCUUGUCCCUUGUAGUGGAUGUGGUUUGGUUGUGGGCGCCAGAGCGACAAGUUUCCUCGCUCACCCUGCGGUUGCGGCUACUUUUAUAGUUCUAAAUAUGUAUAUUAAGUUCUUUUUUAUUUAUGAAAUAGAACAUAAUAUUUUCUUUUGAUUAUUUUCAUUCAUUGGUAUAUAUGAAUGAGUAUAUUUCAUUCCUGGUACUAAUACUGGUUUAAACUUUUGUAAUUUUGCAUACCUUUGAAGUAUAUGUAGCAUAUAUUGAUAUACAUAAUCUGUUGAGAGUUGUUCUUUCAAAAAGUUCUGACCACAUUUUCCAACCAUAGCAGCCUUUUAAGUAAAGAAAUUUGUUAAACUUAAAUACAAUUAUAUUAGAAAACCAACCUUAUAGAUAUUAGAAUUACUCCAUUGUAUGGCUUCUUGAAUAGAAUCACAAAUAUUUUCUCUAGUAAUUGGUAGAAAAUGAACAUGUGGAAGUAAAGACCUUGAGAAGAAAUCCCAAUAAUAUGGUUCAAUCCUUAACAUUGUUGAUCCACAUGACAAUAUAUACUUCAAACUCACUGACCAAGCAUUGCCUUCGGCAUAGAUUUUAUAUCUAGAAUUCAUAUAAGUUAACUGUUACACAAAAAUAAAUCUUACCUUGAGAAACACUGGUUGGACAAAUCAGAAUUGGUAAAAUUGGCCUUUUCUUCUGUAAUCCAAUCCUGAAAAAACAAAUCAAUAUAAUAAGUUGAUAAUUAUAGAUUUAUAAACCUGAUGUUGAAUUAGAAUAUUUGUAGAGUUGCACUUAACCAGAUUAGACCUUAUUAGUCCCAUUUGCGUAUUUCCUCUCCAAUAUGCAAUAGGUUUUCUUCUAAACCAAUCAAUCUUUUCGGCCUCUGUAAAGAUUCUUUCACUCUCAAUGCUCCAAGGAAGGAUAUUUACUUCUGGCCUGCAAAGACAAUCAACAAAAAACAUUGAAAAACUAGAGAAUUUACCAUCCCCAUAUAGACCAAUCUGGAAAGACAAUGUCAUAAUGCCGAUUUCUUGUUGUGCAAUACCCAAAAACAGGGGGAGGUGAUGUGAAGAGGUAACGCCAUCUGGGAACGAGGGGAUGGUCUUGGCAAUUAAACAUAAUAUCCACAUCAGGAACCAUUCCAGGGAACUUAUUCAACAACAUUGCCAAUCCCUUGAGUGUGUAUUCAGCCCUGGUUUGAAAGCACUGCUUGUAUGUCUGAGUAUAUAGCUUACCACCCAGAAUGAUCACCCUAAAAUAAGCCUUCUCCUUGCCAGCUUCAAGAGCUUUCCUAGUUAUCCCACCCUUCCAUGGUGCAAGAUCAUGUUCUAUCCACUUGAAAUAAGAGGGACAUGUUUGGUUACCCAAGAAGUGACAACUGUGAAUUCGUGCUCUAUGCUGUGGUGGAUUUGAUUCAGUAAAUGAUAGCAAAAGUAGUGACGCUCCUAAGGCAACAACGCAAAACCAACCAAGAACGAGCUUAGACAUCUUAGAACCCUAUAUUAAAUCGGCAAACUGUUAAAAUAACAGGUGAAAGAUUUAGGGCUCCAAAGACUCGAAGAAUCCUGGCGGAAUUAUGGCAUGCUGCGACGCUGUGAUCGAUCUCUCUUUCAGAUCCGGGUCUCUCGGCAUCCACAUUCGCUCUUCGCGAUGGCGCUCCAAGAGAAAGAAGCUGUAAGUUUGAUUUCCUCCCUCGAUGAUGCGUGCUUGAUGAUCUUCUUUGUAGCGUGUGAGUCACGAGGAGCCGGAUGUGGUUCCUGUUGUGAUUUUCGCACUGAAAGCGUGCAGCAGCUUGAGAGAUUUAGAGACCGGGACGAUUAUCCACGCUCAUGCCAUCGAAUCCAGUCAUGAUUCUUGCAGCAUUCGUGUGGCCAGCAGCCUGAUUAAUAUGUAUGCGAAGUGUGGAAGCAUGGCGCUCGCGAGGGCCGUGUUUGAUGCCAUGCCAACGAUUCGCGACGUUGUCUCGUGGACUACUAUGAUUGCCGGGUAUGCCGAGAAUGGGGAAAUUGAUUUGGCAUUCACUCUCUUUUCUACCAUGCAACAGGAAGGCUGUGCUCCAAACGAGCGGACUUUCACUGCUGUUCUCAAGGCGUGCGCGGGGCUGGCGUCGAGAGAAAGAGGCCGAGAACUCCAUGGAAAGAUUUGGAAGGUGAAAAGUCUGGAGAGGGGCAGGGCUCUUCACUUGCAAGCAGCGAGCACUGGAUUCGAGGGGGAUGCUUUCGUUUGUAGCAGCGUGGUGGAGAUGUAUGCAAAGUGUGGGAGCUUGGUCGAUGCGAAGGCAGUGUUCGACAGGAUGAGCUCGCCGGACAUCGUGGCCUGGACAGUUUUGAUGCUGGGAUAUGUCGAGAACGAAGAGGAAGAUCUGGCACUGGAACUUCUGGCGUCCAUGAAAGAGAACGCGCGGUGCGCUCCAAAUGCUCGAACGUUGUCAGUGGCUGUGAAGGCCUGCACGAGUCUGGCUUUGAAAGAAGAGGGACAGGUCGUCGCUGGCACAAAACUCGUCAAACUAGCUUCUCUGGAGAAAGGAAUGUCGGUUCACAGUGAAGCCGUCAAGACUGGCUGGAUCUCGGAGAGUUUUCUGGCAACCAGCCUUGUGGACAUGUAUGGGAAGUGUGGUACACUGCUGGAUGCACGCAUGAUAUUUGAUAAGAUGGACUCCAGCAAUGUGGUAUCGUGGAACUCACUCAUCCUCGGCUAUGUAGAAAACGAUGAGGAAGAUUUGGCUCUUGCUGUUUUCAAGUCUAUGGAUGGUUUCUGCGAGCUCGAUUCUCGAACGUUUGUUGCUGCAACGAAGGCUUGUAGCAACUUGGCAGCCAAAGAACAGGCGAGGAAACUUGAUGGAAAGCUGGUGAAGGUAAGGUCUUUGGAGAAGGGCCGUGAAGUUCAUGGCUUAGCGGGGAGCUGUGACAGGGAUGCAUUCCUGGGAUCUGCUUUGGUGGAGAUGUAUUCUCAGUGUGGAAGCUUGGUUGAUGCAUGGAGAGCCUACGGGGAGAUGAGUUAUCCUGAUGUUGUGGCGUGGACUACUUUGAUCCUGGCUUAUGCUGAGAAUGGAGAAGAAAGCCGGGCUCUGGAAGUUUUCGAGUUCAUGAAGCCGGAAGGUUGCGAGCCAGACUCGGGGGUUUUCAUUGCUGCAAUCAGAGCUUGUGGGAGACUAGCCGAGAAUUGUUUACCAGGCAGCAAGCUGAAGGCUCUUGAGAAAACGAUGAUGGUUCACUCUCAAGCUUUGAGGUACUCCUUGGACUUGAGCAUCUUCUUCGACAACACGCUCGUGGACACUUAUGCAAAGUGUGGGAGCUUGGAAGAUUCACGCAGGGCAUUCGACAGGAUGUCUUCUCACAGCGUGGUUUCGUGGACUGUUUUGAUGGCCGGCUGCGUGGAGAACGGGAACGAAGAACUGGCCCUGGAACUUUUCUCAGUCAUGGGAGUUGAGCCCGACGCGCAGUCUUAUGUUGCUGCAUUGAACGCAUGCAUUGCUCUUGCUGUAGGAGAGCCAGGGAAGCAUGUCGACGAUGGAAAGGCUGUGAAGCUACGAGCUCUAGACAGAGGCAUGGCUAUCCAUUCUCAAGCAGCAGCCGGGUGCUGGGAGGCAGACUUUUUUGUUAGCAGCACCCUGGUGGAGUUAUAUGCGCGGUGUGGAAAUAUGCUCGAUGCCAGAAUGGUCUUCGACAGGAUGCCAUGCCAUGAUCUCGUCUCCUGGAACACGUUAAUUCUCGGUUAUGCCGAGAAUGGUGAGGAAGAAUUUGCUCUCAAGCUAUACCUUGAGCUCCAGGAAAACGAGGAGCUCUACUCGGCUGAUGCGCAAACUUUCGCCGCUGCUCUCAAGGCCUGUAGCAAUCAGGUGGAUUUGGAAACAGGGAGAAGGCUGCACAGAGAAAUUUGCAGAGCUGGGGAUGAAAACGAUGAAGUUCUAGCUGCUUGCUUGGUGGAUUUGUAUGGCAAGUGUGGAAGCACGAUUAAUUCUCGGCUGGUCUUUGACUCUACGCCCGGAGAAGACAUGGUAAGCUGGAACGCUCUGUUAGCAUCUUACGCUCGUCAAGGGGAUUCUGACGAGGUUCUCGGUCUCUUUCACAGGAUGCAAGACGAAGCUCUUGGAGCUGAUGGUAUUACUUUUGUCUCAGUUUUGACGGCAUGCAGUCAUGCUGGCCUUGUCGAGCGGGGCACUCGCUACUUUGAGGAAAUGAUGUCCAAGUAUGGUGUAAAACCCGACAUUGAUCACUACCACUGCGUGGUUGAUCUUCUCGGCCGAGCCAACCGGCUGGAUGAGGCUGUUGCCAUGGUGAGAAGGAUGCCUUUUGAGCCGAGUUCACUGACUUGGAGGACUGUGCUAGGUGCUUGUGGCAAGUGGAAAAACUCGAGCAUCGGGCAGCUAGCGUUCGAGUCACUGCUGGAGCUUGGUGAUGAUCGAGAUGUUGCAGCAGCCUAUUUAUUGAUGGUGAAAGCCCGAUGAAGAUAUAGUUUUUGCAACCUUGACUUUGUCACGCAAGGAUAUUUUCCGACUUUGUCAAGCGUCCAUCUUAAAAUACACUAGAAAAGAAGUGACAUUUCAGCCAGGCUGAAAGAAGGCUCUCAUUUACUCUCAUCCUUUCAGAAGCAGAAGGCAGUAUGGCGCCUAGCACCAUGAGUGAAGAUGCUCAAGGCCACUUUGAUCUCAAGAGCAUGAUCUUCUCGCUGGUGACUCCUUUCAUGCUCAAGGCUGUGGUGCUGCUCGGCAUUCCCGAGAUGAUCUCCAAGGCAGGCCCGCUCUCCCUCAAGCAGAUCGUGUCACGUCUCUCAAAUGUCAAGAACUUUCAGCCGGACCUCCUCGAGAGAAUCCUCCAGUUUCUGGUCCACAAGCGGGCACUGAGCGAGAAGAUCGACGAGAAAGAUGGAGAAACGUACUACGGCCUCACUCCAAUCUCAAAGUGGCUCGCGGAAGAGCACCAUCUCCUGCUCUUGUGCACGCACGAGUAUCCCAUGGCCGCGUUCCAAAAGGUGAACGAAGCAGUGCUGGAUGGAGGCCACGCUUACGAGAUGGCCAACAAAAGUCGUGUUUGGGAGCACGACCCCGGCCACGGCGACGAGUACGUGAAGCUGCUCAACGAUGCUAUGGUCGCUUGGAGCAGCGUCACAAUCUCCCUCGUCCUCGAGCACUACGAUGGAUUCAAAGACGUGAAGAAGCUCGUGGAUGUUGGCGGUGGCCUUGGAAUGUGCAUGGGCAAGAUUGUGGAGAAGUAUCCCCACAUCGAAGGUGUCAACUUUGAUCUCCCUCACACCGUUUCGAGCGCUCCAGCCUUUCCCGGUAAGAUUCAAGACACAUCUUCUUUUGAUUUCUUCAUGUUUUUUCUUAACAGGUGUUGCUCAUGUGGGAGGCAACAUGUUUGAGAGUGUUCCAAGUGCUGACGCUCUUCUUAUCAAGGUACUCUGUCUUCUUUUCCUUGAGGUUGUGAUCGUCGUGGUGUUUCUUCAGUCUGUUAUCAUCAAUUUUAGCGACGAGGAUUGCCUCAAGAUGCUGGCGAAUUGCUACAAAGCUCUGCCACGAGGAGGCAAACUGAUAGUGAUCGAGCUCAUAUACUCCAAGGAGGGACCAUUCGAGAUGGACCUGGACAUGAUUAUGAUCGGCUUCACCGACGGUGGCAAGACCAGGCGAUUUGAAGAACACAAAGCGCUGCUCGAGAACAGUGGCUUUGGCAACGUUUCCCUCGUGGCCGUUCCUUCCAAGGAGCAAGUUAUAGAAGCUUACAAGCUCUAAACAAAGUGAAUGAGAUGUUUGUGCUAGUUGUAUUUUAGAGUUUAUUGUCGCCGUUGACAAUAUGGACUGCUCCAGUGUUGAAGCGAGCAUCAUCGAUAAAAAUAAAAGAGUUUGAGGCUUGGAUAAUAUUCUUCCUGGAGAUUUUGCCGCUUGGGGAUAGGUGGCCUAAACCAUGAAGAAUUUCGCACUCUGGACGCGUGACCGACGCCAUGGAGUGCUUGGUAUGUCAACUGCUGCUUAACUUUUGUGACAACUAUAGCAUAUGGAUACGGUGAUGUUGGCUCGAAUCAGGAGUGUGUCAUUUCAUCGUCUUACAUCGAUCAUUGCUGAAUGAUAGAGAUGUUGCAGCAGUUUCCUCGUUUGAUUAUUUUGCGGUAGCGAAGACUUACAUUUAUUUAUAGAUCUUUCGACACAACAUGGCCUCAAAUGGCCAUAUGACAUUCUGCCUUGACUCUACAUUGACUAUGUUCACUUUGAAUUGACUUUAUUUUACUUUCUUGAGUGCCGGUGACAAAAAUUUGCAGAACUGGGGAUGAAACCAAUGAAGCUCUCGGUUGGUCUUCGACUCUACGCCCGGAGAAGACAUGGUAAAACGCUCUAGCAGCUUCACGAAGUUUUCAGCCUCUUUCAUAAGAUGCAAGACGAAGCGUUUGGAUUACUUUCGUCUCAGUUUUACUGGCGUUGGGCAGCUAGCAUUCAAGUCACUGCUGGAGCUUGAUGAUGAUCAAGAUGAUGCAGGAGCCUAUUUAUUGAUCGUGAAAUCCCGAUGAAGAUAUAGUUUUUGCAACCCUGACUUUGUCACGCAAGGAUAUUUUCCGACUUUGUCACGCUGUUCUGGCAGCGUGGACCUUAAAAUACAGUAGACAGGGAAGUGACAUUUCAACCAGUCUUAAAGAAGGUUCUCAUUUACUCUCGCCUUUCAGAAUCAAUAGGCAGUAUGGUGCCUGGAUCUAGCACCAUGAAUGAAGAUGCUCAAGGCCACUUUGAUCUCUCUUCUCGCUAUCGUGUCAUGUCUCUCGAACGCGAAGAACUGUCAGCCGGAUCUCCUCGAGAGACUCCUCCAGUUUCUGGUCCACAAGGGGGCACUGAGCAAGAAGAUCGACGAGAAAGAUGGAGAAACGUACUACGGCCUCACUCCAAUCUCAAAGGGGCUUGCGGAGGAGCAUCAUCACCUGCUGCUAUGCACGCACGCGCUGAAUGGUGCUGAAGGUGCACGUCCUAAAGGUGGUGCUGAAUGGAGGCCACGCUUACGAGAUUGCCAACAAAUGUCGUGUUUGGGAGCACGACCCUGGCCACGGCGACGAGUACGUGAAGCUGCUCAACGAUGCUAUGGUCGCGUGGAGCAGCGUCACCAUCUCCCUCGUCCUCGAGCACUACGAUGGCUUCAAAGACGUGAAGAAGCUCGUGGAUGGUGGCCUUGGAAUGUGCAUGGGCAAGAUCGUGGAGAAAUAUCCCCACAUCGAAGGUGCCAACUUUGAUCUCCCUCACACUGUUGAGAUCCAGCCAUUCCCGGUAAGGAUUAAAGUUUUGUUUCUGAUUCCUCCAUGUCUUUAUGCUUUUUUAGGUGUUACUGCAAAUAUGUUUGAGAGUGUACCAAGUGCUCAUGCUCUUUUUUAUCAAGGUUGCUCUUUGUUUUGAUCAUUGGUGUUUCUUCAGUCUACUUUGCUCAAUUUUAGCGACGAGGAUUGCCUGAAGAUGCUGGCGAAUUGCAACAAAGCUCGGCCACGAGGAGGCAAAAUGAUAGUGGUCGACCUUAUGUACUCCAAGGACGGAGCUGGACCUACACCGACGGUGGCAAGACCAGGCGAUUUGAAGAACACAUGGUGCUGCUUGAAAAAAGUGGCUUUGGCAACGUUUCCCUCGUGAACGUUCCGUCCAAGGAGCAAGUUAUUGAAGCUUACAAACUGUAAAUAAACAAUGUUUUGUGUUUAAUAUACAUUUUUCAACAAAAAGGUGAGUGAAGAUCAAGCACAAUAUAACAUUGAAUUGUUCAUUCAUCAUAGAAUUUACAUUUCAAAACAUGGGUGACCUUGUUGGGAUACCUUUCCUUGCCCGCUUUCUAAAUCCUUGAAGAGCAGGAGCUUGACGCUUGUCAUGCUCGACAGUAUUACAAGGGGCACUAAACACAUGUACUGCUUCGUCCAUUCUCCUCCUCGCACAAACUUGCUCAAUGGAGCUUUGCUCUGGCUGCUUUCGUUUCCUGUUGGAUGGAGCCUUUUUCGCCUUGGGAGCCCUAGGUCGAUCCUUUGGCUUGACCUUAACGACCCGGGCUUGAUGAUCGUUGAGCUCACUUCUCGGUUGCAUUCGUUGUGCAUCACCAUCUGGGGCGACCUCGCCAAAAGGUGGCGGAAUGUUCUUCUCCUGACCCUGAUCGACUUGGGCCUGCUGAUGCGCGACGAACCCUUCACACUGGAGCUUGCAGUAGAGCGAGCAGUAGAGAGCUCCGUGCAGCACCCUCUUGCAGUGGCGGCAUAGUACCGAGUUUUGCACCUCUAUUCCUCGGGGCCUGGCGUGGAGAUAAAAGAUUGGGCCUCCGUUGAUGGUAAACGUCUCCAGCCCCGACGUAUCGAUGAGGCGCUCCGCUUCACACGCCUUGACUGCAGUAAGGCGGCCUGAGAUUACGAUCUGCAAAGCGUUUCGGGAGUCGCAAGUCCGGUGAUCCUUUUUGCAUUCUUGACACAGGGACACUAAGCACUGCUUGCAGAAGAAGCUCUUCUUGCGUUUCCCGGAUGUGCAGUUGGCGUGGAGUUCACACACUGUGAAGAAGUCCGUCACGUUCAACAGAGCUUGCAACCACGACGCCAUAACUCUCGUAAAGGAAAAUGUGUCUUCCCUUAGGUCUCCACUGUUUAGAUGCUCGUGUUUAAGUAGUUCCUUUUGGUAACUUAGGAAAAUCACCUUUAGGUCGUGGUUACAUAAAAUGUUUCCCUGAAUUAAUGCAUCAGCCGGGAGUCGAACCCGGGUCUAUUGCUUGGAAGGCAAUUAUCCUAACCAUUGGACUACUGAUGCUUAAUGCAUUUGGUUAAAACUCUUACCUUAACUGCCGGCUUAAAAAGUCUUAACAUAAUAAAGCUCAUAUUUAGCUUGAACCAAAUGUUAUGCUCCUCAGGAAUGAGAGGAAACGAGCGAGAUCUCUUCUCGAUCUGACUGGAAGCUCUUUCUCCUCCGAAUCAUUCGAUUGGAAAGAAGCUGCAAGAGCCAUCAAAGUCGCCGGCGCAGCCAGGGACCUCGCCCGCUCUCGAAUCAUCCACGCCCAAAUCAGCGCGAGCAAGACUAACAGAGGCGAUCGAUUCCUACUCAAUCUCCUCAUCGAGAGCUAUGGAAAAUGCCACAGCGCUGCCGACGCAUUGGCGGUGUUCCAAUCGAUGCCAAUGCCCAACACAUUCUCCUAUAAUCUCCUUAUUACAGCAUUUGCCCAGGCCGGGCAUUUGGAGGAGGCCAGAUCCACGUUCGAGGAGCUCCCGCUCAAGAGCGUGGUCUCAUGGACGGCCAUGAUCACUGCCUACGCCAAUGUCGGACACGUGGACCUCGCGCGAUCGUUCUUUGAUAGAAUGCCACAGCCCAAUCUCGUUUCCUGGACCGCCAUUCUCCAGGGCUAUGCCCUAGCUGGGGAUCUCGAGGGCGCGCGCCAGAUCUUCUACUCCAUGCCGGAGGAUCGCGAUGCCGUGGCUGUCAACGCGAUGAUCGUCGCCUACGCGGACAGCGGCCACACGGUCGAGGCGCGGGGCUUGUUCGAUGGGAUCGUCCAGGGCAGGGAUUUGGUUUCUUGGAACACGAUGAUCCAGGCGUACGCGACGAGCGGGCGAGUGGAAUCCUCGCGAUGGAUCUUUGAGAGAAUGCCGGCCAGGGAUGUGUUCUCGUGGACGGCGCUGCUCACCGCGAACGCCCAGGUGGGUGGAGCGGUGGAGUGCCGCCGGAUCUUCGACACCAUGCCGGGGAAGAAUCUGGUCUCGUGGAAUGGGAUGCUGCUGGGUUACAGCCAAUCCGGCCAGGCGGAUCUCGCGAGAGUCUUGCUCGAGAGAAUGCCGUGCUGGGACGAGAAUUCGUGGAACACGGUGAUUACAGCGCUUGGGCAGGGUGGAGAGAUGGACGCCGCAAGGGAUCUGCUAGAGAAGUACCAGGAUUUGGGAAGCGUGGUGGUGUGGAGCGCGCUUGUCAAGGGAUUUGCCUUGAAUGGGUAUCUUGAAGAGGCUGAGAAGCUCUUCCACUCGAGGCUGGAUCUAGACACAGUGGCCUGGACGUCGAUGCUCGCUGCUUACGCGCUCAAAGGGCUGAUGGACAGAGCUAGAGAAACUUUCGAUCGAAUGCCCAGCAAGGACUUGGUAGCGUUCACAGCCUUGAUCCAAGGAUAUGCCCAGAGCGGGCAUAUUGCCGAGGCUCGUCGUGUCUUCUCACGGAUGCCCAAGAACAGUGCUCUCUCUUGGACAACGAUGAUUCAAGCGCUCGGACAGGCCGGCCAGCUCCAGGAAGCUCGGAUACUCUUCGAUGCCACUCCCCAGCAGUGUGUGAUCGCCUGGACAACGAUGAUCCAAGCCUAUGCUAGCAGCGGCAUGGACGAUGAGUCUCUGGAGCUCUUCCGGCUGCUGGAUCAAGCUGGGCUGAGGCCAAACACGAUCACUUAUCUGGGAGUUCUAACUGCUUGCUCUCACGCUGGGCUCGUCGACGAUGGCCAUUACUACUUCGUCUCCAUGUCCAGGGACCAGGAGAUUGUUCCGAGCGUGGAGCAUUUCCACUGCAUGGUGGACAUCCUUGCUCGGUCUGGGCGCGUGAGCGAUGCCGUGGAGCUCGUGCAGAGUAUGCCUUUUGUGCCCGACUCCAUGGCAUUGACAACGCUGCUCAAUUCUUGUCGAGCGGAUGGUGAUGUUGGUCGUGGAGCCUCAGUUGCAGAGUCACUUCUUAGAAGCCAUCCGGAGAACACGUCGGGAUACUCGCUUCUGGCAGGGAUUUUUGCUGGAGCUACAGAGGAGGCCUGAGAAUUUCGGAAGAAUCAAGUAAGAGAUUGAUUCAUAUUUGGCUUCUAAAACUUGGUUUUUCUUUCUUCCAGUGGCUAGUUGCUUUGCUUGGCUUCUAGGUGCAUGGUAAGAAAGUUUUUUUUCUUUCUUUCGUUCUUAUAAGUUUUUAUGCUGUUACAGGAGGUCGCUUUCUAGAAGUAAGAAAAAAUCAACGGUAUGUUUGUCUAGAAGUUUUGACUGAGAUUUUUUUUUGUUGUGGCUAUGGCCGUCUCUGUACAGGGCUCAGCGCUAGGACAAUUGCGUCUUGGGAGCGCAAUUGUGACACCAAAAGGAUCAAAACUUUGCUUCACUUCAUUGCGUAAAUUUUCUCCAAAGGCCGCGCUUGCUGAGAAACCAGCACCAACAAAGGUACAUUUCCUCCUUCUAGUUCCCAACCAAGCUAGUUGUAGCUGUUUGUUAGACUGGAUCUUGGUCGUGGAGGCACAACAAUUCCUCCUUGAAAAUCAAUUUUGUCGAGCAAUCCAGUGUUGGAGACAAAUGCCUGCUACUACUUCCAACUGUGUCGGACGUGAGCACCACGGAAGAAUGGAAAGCCGUGUCUCAAGAUAUCGUCACAAAGGACAGUUCGUGGAGGUCUGUGAUUGUGGAUUGGCCGGGAUUUGGCCUCUCGGACAGGCCAGCGAUAGACUACACUGCUGAUACCUUGGAAAAGUUCCUCGUAGACUUUGUCAUGGCUCAAGAUGGACCUCUUGGAAGCACAACAGGUCAGUGUACAUUUUUUUCUUUGCUCUAGAACUCUAGUGCAAGAGUUAACUAGUUUCUUAUACUCCAGCUCCAGUGAUUGCCGGAGGUGGUCAUGCUGCAACCAUUGCCGCAAAGGCCAUCGCCGGAGGAAAGAUAAAUGCCCGAGCUUUGGUUGCGGUAGCUCCAACAUGGGCCGGACCUUUGCCAAUUGUUUUCGGACAAAGUCCCGAUGCCGUAUCCAAGUAAGCAGUGCUUAGUUCCAAAGUCAUUCUUUUCUUUCUCAACUUUAUCGCUUUUGCCAUUGUUUACGCACAGGUAUGGAUUCCUUCGAGGAGCUUUGCGAGCUCCUGCCGUGGGCUGGGCUCUUUACAACGCACUCGUGAGCAGCCGGAGCAACAUACGAAAACAGUACGAAAGUCACGUCUACUCAGAGUCGAGCAACGUGACUGACGCCAUCGUCGAUAGCCGCCUCGCUCUCACCAAGCUCCCGGGAGCUCGCUACGCUCCUGCGGCCUUUCUCACUGGCCUGCUUGAUCCAGUGAAGAGCCGGGAAGAAUUUGUGGAGCUGUUUGGCGCUCUGGACGGGAAAGUCCCAGCGUUGGUCAUGGUUUCCACGGCCAGUCCGAGGCGCUCCAGAGCCGAGAUGGAAGCUCUCCGGGAUGCCAAGGGUGUGGCCAAGCUUGUGGAAAUUCCAGGAGCUCUCUUGGCACACGAGGAGUUCCCUGGACGAGUUGCUAGUGAGCUCUAUGAAUUCCUCUCAAAUCUAUGAAUUGGAAGUUUGGCCCAUAAAGUUUCUCUCAUAUCAUGUGUCAAACAAAGAGUUCCUCGCUAAUCUAUGAAUGAAAGUUUCCUCUUUGAUAGUUUCUGCCAAUAGUUUUCUCGAUCGUGUCAAGCAAUGAGUGACUUGUGUCCAUCGUGAUCUCAUAUUCUUCUUCUCGUCAACAAUUCAUUGACUUUGCCAUAAUCAACUAGUGUUGACCAUAGUUAUACCACCUUUCAUAGAGGUUUCUAACGAACACAGCAAUGCAGCUACGUGGUGCUAGUCUUUGCAUGCAACACAUAUACUCAUAAGCCACGUGGUAAAUACACGCGACUUCUACUUUCGCCGGCGCGAAUAUUCGCUGGUGGCCACCCACAAUUUCCCGCUCUCGGACUACCUGUCGUGGCGAGUCCACAGCCGUCGGAUCUCCCAUCCAACGGCCCACAACACCCCGGCUGCACCCCUUGGUGAUCUGGUGUUCUUCCUCGCUGACUAGAAAAAUGCGCGGCGAGGGCGGCCAUUGUAGAGGAAGCGUGGACGCGAAGGAUCACAGCGCGUGGGGGUUGGAUUGCCGCUGCCGCCAUCGCCGCGACGACACCAGAUCGAGAGCACUCAACCGCAGUGGGGCCGAGGUUGGAUCUUCCUUCUUCCUGUUCCUAGGGUUUUGCAACGCGUCGAGUACCAGCAGUGGCCGCGCUCUCGUUUCUUGCUCGAGCCAAGCUCCAAUCCGGCUUCUCUCCAGGUGAAAUCUUGAGCCAGUCCCGUUGUGGCAAGGAUUUGAUCCAUGGCGAUGGCGGCCGCGAGCACGUCGAACACGAUUCACCAGGCGCGCAUUUUCGAGCACGGCAGCUCGUCCCCGCGAUGUAAUCUGGGCAGCCCCGUGUACUACCACAGCAGACCCCCUCCAUCGGCGGCAGCGGCGGCGCUGAGGAAGUCGAGCUGCGCGGCGUUCCUCCAAUCGCGCGGGUAUCAGCACGAAGGAUUGAGGAGGUGCUCCACCGCCAUCGAUUUCCUCCGCCCAGUUUCAUUCUCCGAGGGAUUCGAUCAGGCAGUCUCGAGUUCUUUGAUAGCAAGAAGUCCCGGCGAGGCUAGAGCUGGUUGCCGGGGCGUCGUGAGCGCGGUCUUUGAGCGAUUCACGGAGAGAGCUAUCAAGUCCAUCAUGCUCGCCCAGAGGGAGGCCAAGCUGUUUGGAAAGAAGGACGUGGGGACCGAGCAGCUGCUGCUGGGAUUGAUUGCCGAGGAGAGGAAUGGAGAAGGAUUUCUCGGGUCUGGCGUUACCAUCGACCGAGCCAGGGAGGCCUUGAAGAACUUGCUCCAGGAGAGCAAUCAAACGUUUGUCACGUCCGAUAAGCAAGCGUCCGAGAUUCCUUUCUCGAGUGGAAGCAAGAGGGUGUUUGAGGCGGCGCUGGAGCAGUCCAAGAAGAUGGGACAUAACUACAUCACCCCGGAGCAUAUAGCGCUUGCUCUUUUCACGGUGGACGAUGGGGGAGCUACAAAGAUUCUUGACAAGUACGUGAUAGAUAGUUAGAAAAUGGUUGAUUGAGUGUGGCUGACUCCGUUUUUGCGUGUUUCUUUCAGGCUUGGAUUGAAAACGCAAAAGCUACAAGCUGAGUCAAUCGUGAGACUACAGGGAGAACUUGCCAAGGACGGAAGAACACCGCCUCCUGCUAUGAGUUUGCCAGCCAAGUCUGGAGCUACAGCGGCUUCGUCAAGCAAGCGUCCUGGUAGAAAAGGUUCGCUCUUUACUUAUUAGUUUGCUUUCGAUGCUUGUCGUCUUACCACGCCGUCUUCUAGAAAAAGGUGCUCUCAACGAUUUUUGUGUGGAUCUUACCUUACGUGCUAGUGACGGGAAAAUUGAUCCUGUUAUUGGCCGAGACAGUGAAGUGCAAAGAGUUGUACAGAUUCUAGCAAGAAGAACCAAAAACAAUCCCAUCUUGCUUGGGGAGCCUGGCGUUGGCAAGACAGCGAUUGCUGAAGGCCUUGCCAUACGUAUUGCGAGUGGAAACGUUCCAGAGUUUCUCACGGUGAGUAGAUUUUUAAACUGCGGUGAAGUUUACUUAUUCUUGCUUGCGCAUACAGGGGAAGCGAGUGAUGUCUCUGGAUAUGGGAUUGCUUCUUGCUGGAGCUAAGGAGCGUGGUGAACUAGAAUCUCGGGUUACAAGCCUCAUAGAGGAAACGCGAAAAGCAGGUGAAGUUUUCCGUUUAUUUAUACUUAGAAUGCUGUAUCUGACAUGCUUGAUAUCACCAGGCAAUGUUAUACUUCUUAUAGACGAAGUCCAUACGCUCGUUGGGUCGGGUUCUGUUGGUGGAAGAGGUGGAAAUAAUGGGGCAGGCUUGGACAUUGCGAAUCUAUUGAAGCCUGCAUUAGCGAGAGGCGAACUUCAGGUAAAGAUAAUGUUUUCAGUGUUAAUAACGAUUAUGCUUACGCUUUUUUCUUCAGUGUAUAGGUGCCACAACACUCGACGAGCAUAGAAAACACAUUGAAAAAGAUAAAGCGCUAGCAAGGAGGUUUCAACCUGUUAUUGUAAAUGAACCUAGUCAGGUUUGUGUUGAUACUUGGUAUAUGUUGUUGUUGACGAUUUUUUUGGUUUGCAGGAAGACGCUGUAAAGAUUCUUUUAGGAAUACGUGAUAGAUACGAAGAGUAUCACAAAUGUAGAAUUACACAGGAAGCAGUUGAUGCGGCUGUAUAUUUGUCGUCGAGAUACAUAGCUGAUCGAUACCUUCCCGACAAAGCGAUUGAUUUGAUCGACGAGGCUGGCAGUAGAGCCCGAAUUGAUGCGUUUAAGCGCAGGAAAGAAGAGCGAGUCAGCAUUCUUUCCAAGACACCUAGCGAGUACUGGCAAGCAAUUCGGGCUGUCCAGGCUGCUCAAGAAGCUGUAAGUGACCUUUAUUUUGCUUGUCGUGCCGAAAGUUGUUCUAACAAUUCUUUUUCAGGCCUUUGUUCCGCAAAGUGCUCUUGGGGACUCGGAGUAUCUUAUUGAAAGUGCUGCAAACACUUUACCAAAGGCUGUAGAUAUCGACCAAGAGUCAGUUUCUUUACCUGUAAAUGAACUAAUGGAAGGGUAUGCACUACUUUUGUUUGUUCUCCGUUUCUUAAGCUUUGUUUCUGUCUGCAGCUCGGUGAUAGUUGGACCUUCAGAAAUAGCAGCUGUGACGUCCAUGUGGUCUGGUAUUCCGAUUGAGCAACUUACCUCGGACGAGCAACUGAAGCUUAUUAAUCUGGAGAAGUUGCUGCAAACGCGUGUUGUUGGCCAAGAUGAUGCAGUGAAUGCCAUAUCGCGAGCAGUUCGCAGGGCACGAGUCGGACUUAAGGAUCCAAGUCGGCCGAUCGCUGCCAUGCUUUUCUGCGGGCCAACCGGUGUAGGAAAAACGGAGCUUACAAAAGCUCUUGCUCAGCACUUCUUUGGAGCCGUAAGUCCUUUCAUACGCAUGCACAUAUGGCGCCUUACCACGGUUUUUUUCUUCCAGGAGGACGCCAUGAUAAGGUUGGAUAUGAGCGAGUACAUGGAGCGUCAUACUGUGAGCAAGCUUAUCGGUUCUCCUCCCGGAUAUGUUGGAUAUGGCGAGGGUGGAACGCUGACAGAGGCUGUUCGCAAGAGGCCCUUCACUGUUAUUCUCUUGGACGAGAUCGAGAAAGCUCAUCCCGAUAUCUUCAACAUGCUUUUGCAAAUUUUUGAGGACGGUCGCCUUACCGAUUCACAGGUAAAGCAUUUUCCGUAAUGCCUGUAAGCUGACCUGCUGGAUUCUACAGGGCCGCGUCGUCUCUUUCAGGAACUCGCUUUUGAUAAUGACAUCCAACGUUGGCUCCUCGGCCAUAGCAAGAGGAGGAAGCGGCAAGAUCGGUUUCUCGUUCGCGGAAGGUGGCGACGAAGACUACACAAACCUCAAAGGUCUGGUGAUGGACGAGCUGAAAAACUUCUUCAGGCCUGAGCUACUCAACAGAAUAGACGAAGUGGUUGUCUUCAGAUCGCUAGAGAAAGCUCAGGUGAGAGAUAAGUCUCUCAUCCCUUUGCGUACGUCGUAACACUUCUUUUGCAGGUCCGUGCCAUUGUUGACAUGAUGCUAGCCGAGACGAAAGAGAGGCUCGCCAAGCGAGGCAUCAAUCUGGAGGUGUCGGAAGCAGCCGUGAAGCUGGUUUGCGACGAGGGCUACGACAAAGCUUACGGAGCUCGUCCCUUGCGGCGAGCGGUCACCAGGAUCAUCGAAGACGCGGUGAGCGAGUCUCUCCUCUCGUCACACUACAGCGAAGGCGAUACAGCGCUGCUAGACCUGGACGCCAGUGGCAACCCGGUGGUAGUCCAGCACUCGAAACCAGAUAGGUGCGACCAUGGCUUGUGCGUCCAGGUGCGAGCUCCAGUCUCGGUUGCUUCCAGCUGAUCUUCACGCGUACAGAAAUAAGAUUCUUGUGAAGAUGAAACAAUACUGUGUAUAGAAUCUAUGGACGAAGAAGGAACCUAUGAAAUGGUACCUUGUAAUGGCUAAAUCGCGCAAAAUUGCAAAGAGAGAUUGAUGUUUUGUAAAGAAACGGUGGAAGGAUCAUUCGUGUUUUGAGCUUAGAUUGAGUGACAACCCCAUGCAACCAUAGUCCAAGUCAAUGCUGCUAAAAACUCUCUAAAGUGUUAAUUAUCAAGAUUCGAACCCCCGACGUGCUUUUUGCCCGAAGUGUUAACUGACUGGUCUAACCUGUUUUAUUGAGCUGGCGGAGCAAUAUUUGGGGUAUUUCUUCCGUAAAAGAUUUUCGCAUAAAGUCCUUGUUAAUUGGACCCUCGGCCGCCUCGAAGCCGGGUCAUCUACUUCCGGUCCACCUCUACACUUACCCGAUAACCAAUUCCUCAGCAACCGGGCUCGCGUUAAUUUAACAUCAUACCAUGUAGUUAACCGAUAUGGACGAGGAUUGGCCUCUUCCAAGAUGCUUGACGCCGAGAAGAAGAUCCACCGCAUAGCAAGCGGCACCUGGUGGGAUCACUGCGCGAAUUCUAUGACUCGGUGGUGGUGGACCGUGCGACUAUGGCAUGUGUCUUGGUUGCUUCCAGCUGAUCUUCACGGCACAGAAAUAAGAUUCUUGUGAAGAUGAAACCAAAAAAUGUGUAUAGAAGAAGGAACUUCGAGCCUAUGAAAUGGUACUGUCUUCAGGUAUCUAGAUCACGCAAAGUUGCGGAGAGAGAUUGAUGUCUUGUGAAGAAACUGUGUAGACUUUAGAGGAAGGAUCGUUCGCGUUGUUAAAACACGAGCUAAGAUACGAUGUCAAGGGUUCCACUGGUGGCCACACGGGCAUGUUUUCCAGCAAAUCAGAUGCUCUUGACAACCUUCCAGAUCGACCAAGCGCGUCAACAAUGCAACCAUAGUGCUCCAUCGCCGGUACCAGAUUGUAAUCCAGCACCAUCGAAACGAAGGAGUUUCUAGCUUCCUCGACUCGCCCAGUGUGGCUGUAGGCGCUCAAGACAGUGACGAAGGUGAUACCAUCUGGAUCGAAUCCCAGCUGUUGCAUCGCCCAGAAGUUCUCGACGGCAUCCCGAUGGUAUCCUCCCCGGCCAUAGGCAGCAAGCAGUGAGUUCCAGGAAACGAUCUCCUUGAAAGGGAUUCGAUCGAAGAGCUUUUUUGCCUCUGAGAUAUGCCCAACUCGGGCAUACGCUUCGACCAUCGCGAUCCAUGAUGUCAAGUCUGGCUCGUGGAGGUGGUCAAACAGGAAUCUUGCCUCUUUGAUCUCUCCGGCCGAGGCGUGGGAUUCGAGCAUCGCGGUCCAGGAGAUUACACUCCACUGCGGCAUUCGCUCAAACACCCUGCGUGCUUGAUCUACAAGUUUCUCGCGAGCAAACGCAGACAUCAUAGCGUUGCAAGAGAUCACAUCCACCCUGGGGGAGUAAUCAAAGAAAUAUAUCGCUUCUUGGAGGUUUCCAAUCUGUGCGUAGCGGACUAGCAUCAAACACCACGUCUCGACUCCGUGGCAUGGCAUUUUCUCAAACAAUUCUCGCGCCAUUAGCAAAUGCCCGUCUUGGGCAUUUGCUGCAACCAUUGCAUGCCAUAUUACCAUGUCCCGUUGUGGCGUUUCUUUGAAAAACAAUCUUGCUUUUUCUAGCAGCCCGUUUUCCGCCAAAGCUGCAACCAUGGCAGUCCACGAGAAAACGUUUCGCAUUGGCAUCAUGUCAAAUAGUUGCUCUAAUGCACCAAGAUGCCCUUUCCGGGCAUAUACUUGCAAAAGUGCUGUCCAAGAAACCACAUCCCUCUCGAGCAUGGAAUCAAAGAUUCGUUUUGCUGACGGAACGUUACCGACCUGGGCAUAUGCCGUCAUUAUUGACGAGCAAGGCGCAAUGCUCCAGCUUGGCAUUCUCGCAAAAACACCCUCUGCCAUUGCCGUUUGCCCGUCAUAGGCAUAUGCCGUGAGCAACGCCGUCCAUGCCACAACGUUUCUUUGUUGCAUAUUCGCGAAUAAGGCCCUCGCUUCGGACAAAUGCGCAGUCUUGGCAAAUGCUGUCACAAGUACCGUACACGUGGCGGCAUCUCGUUGAGGCAUUUUCUGGAACGCUCUGGAUGCCUCGAAUAUUUGCCCAUGCUUGGAAUGAGCUUGUAUCAACGCCGUCCAGGACACGACGACGCGGACGGUCAUCCAGUGGAACACGUGUCGCGCUUCCUGUAUAUGCCCAGUUUGGGCAUAUGCUGUGAUAAGGAUAUUCCAGGAGUAGACAUUGGGGUGGUGGAGGGAAUCAAAGGCGCCCUUGGCAUCUUCUAUGCUGCCACAUUUGCCGUACAUGUCUACGAUCCAAUUCCCUAAUAGCCUGCUCUUGGCGAGGAGCGCUGGGAUGAUUUGCCGGAGGCGCGAAUGCAGCUCCCUGGCCUGGCGAAGAUCCUUGCUCCUGGCGACUGAUCGGAUGAGAUCGCAAGCAGCGAUGGAAUCCAGCCUCGAAAAGCUUGAUCGUUAUCGAGUGUUUCUUCCCAAAAAAUUUCUUGCAAGGAAUAUUUUCAAUGGUCACACUUGGCAGUGGCGGCAAGAGCCCUAGGCGGCGCCCGGGAUGGGUGUGCUGCGCCGCCUCAUGCAUCUCGCCGCGCAGAGGCUCCAUCGGCCGGGCAGGAGGAAGCUGGCGCCACUGCCGUCGCAGAUUUCGCCUCCAGUUCCAGGUAUGGCCGAUCCUUCUCCACAGCGCCAGCAUCAGCCAAGAAAUCCAAAGAAUGUAGCAGCAGCAGCGCCAGAGGAAGAAGAAGAGGAAGAUUAUGUCUCAUUUGAGGUGGAUUGGUCAGUCUUCUCCAUGGUGCACAUCCAGACGACGAUCCAAGAGAUGCUCUUCACGCUGGCGGGGCUGGCCUUGCCCGAGGAGCAGCAGCACAAGCAAGCAUUCAGAAUCGAGAAUGGGAAUUGGCGGACCAAUCUCGACGUCAAGGAGCUCUAUCUCCGCCGGGAGCUUCGUGACGGCGUGGAGACUGGAUUUCUAGUGCGUGGGGUGAUCUACGACAUGGCGGCUUUGGCCAUUCCUCCUCAAGAACGAGGGAAAAGAAUCAAGGAGAUGGCGUCCUCUGGAUCCAGGGACUGGAGCAAUCUCGUUCACGAGAACGUGAACGAGACUGUUGGAAAGGUGGAAGAUGUGUCGGCCGAGCAAGUCAUGGAGAAGCUGGGACUGAAAUAUGUUGGCGCACUCCAGGAGAAGAUUGGGAGUGGCAGUGUCUCCUCGGCGGCGGCUUUGAGGAAGAAGAAGCUGCAAGAGAAGCAGGGCCUGGAAGAGAUCCUGGGGAGAGGAGACAGCAUACGAGCAAAGUAUGCCGAGAGGCUUAGACACAAGCAAGCAUUAGCGGAUGCAAGACAAGAGCAAGCCAAGCUCGGGGUGGUGAUCACAACUUCUCCUGGAGAAAAAGAUAGCUCUGUGCUACCGGGUUGCCCCGCUCUUAUUCGAUACCUGGAGGUUCGUUUUUAUCUUUCGGUUCUCUCUUCUAUAAUCUUUUGUUCUCUAUGCUUCCAACUCUUUCCUUUUCCAGGAGCGUGGUGUUUCGCAAGCUCUUUUGGCUCGUGGCCCAGACGCUGAGCUUAGAAACUUAAUGAACCAGUUGGGAGGCUUCCAGUUUGCGGAAGUGAGGAGAUUGCAAGAAGAAGUCGUCAGGUACUUUUCAUUUUUCAUGAAUCACAGUUCCAACCAAUGUGACUGUCCAAGCAGCGAAGGAAUGCUGGACUCGAUAUGUACAAAAUGGAGGCUACCAGCCAAGCGAGUCUUGCUGGUAAGUUUUCGUUUUUGCUCUACGCUAUUGGGAUCUAAUUCGGCAAACCAGGUUGUUGGAGCCAAUGGUAGUGAAAGCGAGGAGCUGCUCAAGGUUGCAGCUGACAAAGGCUACUUCGUUUGCCGUGUCCAGAGCACUUCAAACAGCCAAGGCGAGUCGAAAGACUCAAAACCGGAGUCACAGAAACGUUGGGGCCUAACUUCGUGGUUCAACCAUCUUGCCGAGGGGACUCUCCACAUCGAAGAGCAGCGGAAUCACGAGAAAGACAUCGUCCAUUUCCGGGUGAUGGACAUGACUGAGCUCAAGUGGGUGAUUGAGGACCUCAAUGGAGUCUCGUACAGGACAAGCACCAUGGUCCGAGGAUUCAAGUGACAAUGCUCUGGAAUUCAUGGAUUCUUUAACAACUUCAUUUGGAUUCUAAAAAUAUCCUUAUGCCAUAAAGACUCCAGCAUUCUUCUAUUGAUUGGUGCAAUGUGAUCUAAUAUUAUUCCACAUUUUUGUAUGAAAAGAAUUUUUCAUAGUACUUGAUGUGUUUAAUAAAGUAAUAUAUUUAUUUUUUUCUUAAAGGAAAAAAGGACACUAAAAAUGAUAUAUGGCAAAUAUUUAAUUCUCAUUUUGUGAGUGUAUAAAAUAUAGAAAUGAAAUAAAAAAUGUGCAACCCAAAUACCCUAAUUUUUAUAUAAAAGCGAAUGGUCUAAAUUGAAAUUAAUCCAAUAGCUAUCAAAACCCCUAGUGCACAGUUGUUAAUAUUAGUAUAUAGCAUUGUAAUUGUAUAUUUAAAUUUCCUAUCAUCCUCUUCUUUCGAAAAGAAGAAUGGAAGGUAGUUAAAGUUUUUUAGUUGAUGGGUUAAGAUCUAAAAGAACAUAAAAAAAA